CAGCUUACACGAGGGUAAGCAAUAGCCAUGAGUGAAGAGAUAGGAAAGCUAUGUAACUACACAAGUACUAUGAUUCAUUUUGAUCACAUACAUGUAUUCAUUUACAUUCAUGAUUGUUUGCAUUUCAUUACAUUACAUCGUUUGCAUCAUUUCUUUUACAUCACAUUUACCACAAAAUGGGCUUUACAUUCUUUUCUUUACAUCACUAGUCAUCAAAUACAAAAUAUGAACAUAGGGUACUCUACUAACAAAAUAUAAACCAAGCUCAACUCUGGUGGCCUCUGUCUAAGGCGCGAUACCUUUACCUCGGUCGCUCGCUGGCUCGCUCGAUCCCGGCUCUGUGGAAGUAGUGGGGUGAGAACUACAACAAAGUUUCCAGUGGGUUCGGCCCCAACAUCACCGACUUUUCCACUAGGACUAACUCAGGCAUAAUAGAAAGGAUAAGCAGAAUAGUAACCAAACUAUAGUCAUGAUGCUAAUAUGCCUGAACAAUAAAGAAAGGAAUAUGCUCAACAUAAAUUAUGCAAAUUAUGCAAGUUCUUUAUUCUUUUACUCUUUGUUCUUUUGUUCUUUAAUCUCACGGCUAACCCGGGGGUUUCGCCACAUUAACUUGCCCACAUUAAGUCCAUCAUCGCGGGCCCUCAGCUUCCUCCCGCUAAGACCGUCCUCGGGUUUACUCCAACCCGUGAUGCAAAAACUCCGGAGCGCAUUGCUCGAGGGGGUGCAACCACCCUCAAGCACGGAACUCAUAGCAAGUAUGAUCGAUUCCUUAACUCUAAGGAUUAUAAGUUCAAUCAUGUCGUUACACUAACUCUAGUGUCCUUUACAUCACUUUACGUUGCUAACUCUAGCAAUCGUUGUUCUUUGCUCUUUACAUGUUCUUUUUGCCCCACUUUGCAUUAUUCUUUCAUUCUUUAUUCUUGAUGCCACACUUUGUAUUAACUUUAGCCAUUGUCAUUACCUUCGCAUCACAUUGAUUCUUUGCCCCACACUAACUCUAGUGUUCUUUACUUUACAUUAUCAAAUGCCACUCGAUCUAUGUCAUAGUGUGUCACUCUGUUCUUUUGCCUCACUUGAGUGCUUACAUUUCCUCUCAUGCAUACAUAUAGGGUUUCACAUUUGUAUAGGUUCUCAACCAUCAUUAAGCAAGAUGUACUCACAAUCAUGCCAAAUCACAUUCUUUUCAUUGCUUUACCCUAAAUGCAUGCAACAAUAUAUGUAACAUAUGCUCAAUUGAAUGACGCAUUAGGUAUAGAAGGAAGUCCAAUGAGUUUGGAUAGCACCACCUGUAACACACUAGACCUCUGCAAAUUGCGAGGUUCGAGUGCUUGGAUGUAUUUCGAGCUUUUCCACACUUGAUGGAGGGUUGUAGAAUGUUUUCCGACCUAAAAAGUUCGAAAACUGGAAUUCUGGACAAGUCCUGAAAGUUUUUACUCUCGGGGACCGGUCCCUAGAAGGAGAGACUGGUCCCCCAGUGAGCAGUGUUGCGGCAGCCCUGAGGCAACCGGUCCCUGGCGGGCGAGACCAGUCCCCGAGCUCACCUUCGCAGUGAGAGACCGGUCCCGCGCAGGAGGAGACCGGUUCCCGAACGUUGGUUUUCCGGGUUCGCAGCGAGAGACCGGUCCCUGCUGGGGAGAGACCGGUCCCUCUGGGCGAAAACUGCCCAGACCGGGCUGUUGUAAUUUUGGAUUUUUGGGGGACCUAGCUGGAUUUUGUUACAAUAGAGGGCCUAUAUGACCCAUCCACUCUCUCCUCUCCUCAUUUCUCUUCUCUCAACUCUCUCUACACCCUUGAUAGAGAAGAAGAAGAAGAAGGAGAAGGAGAAGAAGGAAGGAAGAAGAAGAAGUUUGAGAGCUACUAGUGGACUUGGAGCAUCUUCCUCACCCUCUCUUCUUCCUUGGUGCUUGGAGGUUGAACUUGGAGCUUGUCAAAGAGGAGAGAUCUUCACCCUUGCACUACAAGAAGAAGAUUUAUAAGUGACAGUAAAACAUUGUCACUAAAAAUAAAAAAUUUGUCACUAAUAGUUUUAGUGACGAUAAAUACGGUCACUAUAAGUUGUCACGAUAGGUCCCGUGGCAAAUAGAUUUUGUGACGGAAAAAAAAAUAUUGUCACUAAAAAUAGUAUUUAUGACAAGACAAUUUUGUCACUAAAUAUUACCUAUUUGUCACCAAUAAUAUUUACGAAAUGGUUGAACAUUAAAAAUAGUAAUCUUAGGUGACAACGUAUGUCGUCACUAACAGUUAGUGACAUCACUAUCCGUCACUAAAUAUUGCAUUUAUGACAAUGAUUAUUCACUACACACUAAUAUUUAGUGAUAAUAAAGUUUGUCACAGAAUAUUACAUUUAUAACAAUCAUAUUCAUCACCGAUAUAUUUGUCACUACAUUAUCGGUCAUAAAAUCAACUAGUUUCAAACAACCAACUGAAAUUUCUAAUAAAAGCAAAUCAACAAGAUUUUAAAAUUCUAAUAACGAAAAUGCAUUAAUAUUCUCACAUUCAUCAUACAAAAUACCUCCCAUUAUCUCCAAUUUUUUAAGUACAUGACAAAGAGUUUUCAAAUUCAAACUAAAUGAUUCAAUCUAAAAUAAGUACAUUUGAUUAUAUGGUCCACAUCCAAAAUAAAGGAUUGUCGAAUACUAAUACUAUGUAGGAAUUGCACCACUCAUCUUUACCUGCAAUGAAUUAAAAACAAAUAUAAUUAGACAAAAUUGAAAUCUAAAAGAAAGAUAAAAUAAAAAAAAUAUUGAUGUUAAGGAUAAGUAUGAUCCAAGUGGAGCUCCAUUCGUUUUCUCAACGUAUGCUCUUUCCUCAUCUUGUAAUGAUUUCUAAUUUAAUUUAACAAAAUAAAACUAGAAACUAACUGAAAAAUAAAGCUAGAAACUAAUUAACUAACACAAAUCUAAACCCAAAGUCAAACAGCACUGAAGACCACUAAUUAAUUUACACGAGCUAGCUAGCCAUAAUUUUUGAAUUAAAUUGCCUUCAAUUAAAAAACCAUAGAAAUAGAAAAGAGAAAUGCUGAUACAUCAAAACCAAGCACAAAAUUCAAAAAUAAAAGCAACAGCAGGUCCGCAACAACAAUGAAUCCUUUAGUCACAGCUAAUGGCAACUAACAGAAUAUGGUUUCUCAAAAUGAAAGGACAUGUAAUCUACAUUUGGAGAGAUUUUAUAUAUUUAAAUACUGCUUUCUAAUUAAUAAUAGCUGAUAUAAGUCAAAGAGCAUGUCAUCAAAACUAAAUAAGGAGAUGAGAGAAGCAGCACUGAUUUUUGCAAGCUGCAACACAACCUAGAACUGCGUAUGCAAUUUCCUCUGCCUAAUCGAUGAAAAAGAUUGGAGAAUGUUGAAGAUACAGCAUAUGAUAAGAUACUUUCUGUCACAGCCCGCGACCACCCGCCUAUUUGGCCGAGGUCCCGGCGCCGCCGACAUCGCCGAAUGGACAGGGUUUCCCCUGUACUACCGACAGAGUCUCCCCUGUACAUUCAAGGCAUCGCAAUCAAUACAAUUCACGAAGGUUCCAACCAGGAACAGAUAUCAAUCAAGAUUGCAAGUGGAAGGUAUCAUACAACAUAAACACAUCCUAAGUUAUUACAUUCAUUCACUUUCAUAGUUUUUACAUCACAGUUNNNNNNNNNNNNNNNNNNNNNNNNNNNNNNNNNNNNNNNNNNNNNNNNNNNNNNNNNNNNNNNNNNNNNNNNNNNNNNNNNNNNNNNNNNNNNNNNNNNNAAGAGAGAGAAUUCUUGUUCUUCUCUUCUAACUCUCUGUGAUGAAUCCGUUAAAUGACAUGCCAGAUUAGGCCAUAUAGGUCAAGAGAAUAGACUGGCUCGAGAAGGCCUUUUGGGGUCUCUCGCCAAAGUUGACCUAUCUGUGUGUGAGCCUUGUCUGGCUGGAAAGGCAUGUAGAAAGCCUUUCGGUAAGGCUACUCGUGCCUCUCAUCCUUUAGAGCUAAUCCACUCAGACAUUUGUGGGCCAAUGAAUGUGAGGGCCCGGCAUGGUGCUUGCUAUUUUCUCACAUUCAUUGAUGAUUAUUCCCGUUAUGGAUAUGUGUAUUUGCUUUCUCGCCGAUCUGAAACUUUAGAUUGCUUCAAGCGCUUCGUUGCGAAGGCUGAGAAUCAAAUAGAAAGAAGUGUAAAGAUGCUUCGCACUGACUGAGGUCGUGAGUACUUGUCUGAUCAGUUCAAGACUUAUUAUGAACAAAAGGGCAUUAAUAGACAGCUCACUAUUCCUGGUACUCCGCAACAAAAUGGUGUUGCAGAGCGAAGGAACCGUACUCUAUUAGACAUGGUUAGGUCGAUGAUGGCGCAAGCGCAAUUUUCCAUAAAUUUUUUGGGAGAUGCUCUUUUGACUGCAGCCUACAUCCUUAAUCGAGUCCCUAGCAAAUCAGUGCCAUCUACCCCAUAUGAGUUGUGGAGAGGUAGAAAACCAAGUUUACACUACUUACGCCCUUGGGGUUCAGCUGGAUAUGUUCACAGCCUCUAACAUAGAUUCGGGAAACUCGGCCCUAGAGCGAGCAAGCAUGUGUUUAUCAGAUACCCUGAAAAUUCGAAGGGCUAUGUGAUGUAUGGUGAACACCCAGAUGGUGGUAUGACCGAGAUUGAGUCUCGUGAUGUGGAAUUCCUAAAAGGGGAUUUUCCAAGCAUUCGUGAAAUGCGAAGAGACGUCGGAUUGUAUGAGUUAUAGGACGACGCUACCCCAUCUGCGGUUGAGGGUAAUCGAUCACUUCCCGAAGUCGCUGAAGGAAGUGGUAGCGAUCCUCCGGCUAGUGGGAGUGCUUCUUUGAGUGAGAGCAUACCCUUGGAAGUCGGCAGAUUAGACCCUCCAUUACACCGAAGUGAACGUGGACAUAUUCCUCGUCGACAUUUUGAGAUCGAAGAGGAUAUUUUCAUGUGUACUCCGCUUAAUGAUGAUGAACCUGCUUCUUAUAAAGAAGUAUUACAUACAUCAGCUUGCAGUGAGUGGAUGGCUGCUAUGAAAGAUGAGAUGGACUCCAUGAGCAAGAACCAAGUAUGGGAAUUGGUUGACCUUCCGCCUGGGCGCAAAUCUAUUGGAAAUAAAUGGGUUUUAAAAAUUAAGCGCAAGGCGGAUGGAUCAAUCGAUAAAUACAAGGCUCGGCUCGUGGCUAAGGGCUACACUCAGAGGCAUGGGGUAGAUUACAACGAGACGUUUGCUCCUGUUGUGCGAUUUGCCUCUAUUCGUUUGAUUCUAGCCUUAGUGGCACACCUAGAUUUGGAAUUGUUCCAAAAUGGAUGUCAAGAAAGCUUUUCUCAAUGGAGAAUUGGCGGAGGAGAUCUAUAUGGAUCAACCUGAGGGUUUUGUACUCAAAGGUCAUGAAAACAAAGUUUGUCGUCUUAAAAAAUUCAUUUACAAUCUCAAGCAGUCGUCGAGACAGUGGUAUUUCAGGUUUCAUAAAGCCAUCACCUCUAUCGGUAUGUCCAUGAUAGAGGAGAACCACUAUGUAUAUGUCAAGAAGACAGAGAAUGGUAUUUUCUUUCUCUCUCUAUACGUCGACGAUAUACUAUUGGCUGGAAAUGACAUGGAGUUAAUCAAUACCACUAAGGAGUGGUUUGUUAAGGAUUUUAUAGGUUGGCGAAUUUCGUAAAGUUGUUUGGAGUCUUGAAGAGUUGAUCGCAGAAGUUAUUCAAAUUGGAGAACGAAGACUCAUUCGGAAAGCUCGACACCUAAGGUAUGAAGAAAAGAUCAUUUGUGGUGAAGAUACCUAAUUAGAAUAAGUUCAGAAGGCUUAGAUUGCUUUAAAAUAAUUUUUCUGAACUUUCAUGUGUUCUGGGACUGAUCCCUGAAGUGGAGAGACCGGUUCCCCUAAGGUCCUCACUGCGUGAGUUCUGAUGCAACCGGUCCCCUGAGAUGAGAGACCGGUUCCCGAACCUUGGUUGUUCUGUCGCGCAGCGAGGGACCGGUCUCAAGCUUGAGAGACCGGUUCCCGAACGCUGAGUUUUUGAACACGCAGAGAGGGACCGGUUCCUCACUUGAGAGACCGGUCUCUCACAGACCGGUCUCCUCGAGAAGACCGGUCUCUGAGGACGACACAGGUUUUUAAAAAUGACUUUUUGCAAUCCUAGUCUACUUCUAAGUCUUCUAAACAUAUAAAUAAGCUAUGUGGGUCAUCUAAAAAUUAAGGCUUUGAAUAUUUACCAAUUCUAAACCCUAGAAACGUAUUUCUCUCCGUUUCAAUGCUUAGAUUUACAUGAUGAGUUUCUAGCAAUCAACAUCGGCUUGAUUCUUCGUUGUUACUCAAUAAUUCUUACGAGAAUCAAGUAAAUGUUUGAUAAAAGGUGAACUCCCAUAGCUUAUGAUUUUUAAAAGUUAAAUCACCACAAAUCUUCGAUUCUACAAGCUCCGGAAGGAGGUUCGGCGCGUGGAUCUCGCGUGAGGCCGAGGAUUCGGUGGACGCUUCGAGGAGUUGAGGCGUUGACGCUGCGUGGAGUUGCAGCAAGGUCGAUUGGUGGAUUUCUAUCGAUCGAGGACCGGCAAAGAUCACCGUCAACAAGAAAUCGGUAAAUUGAGUCGUGUAAUUUCGUCGAAAUCACUUGUACUCGAGUUUUCUUAGUGGAUUUUCUUUGCAUGAUCGGUCCCGUGGGUUUUUCACUCCGAUUUGGAGUUUUCCCACGUUAAAUUCUCGGUGUGCUAUUUUAAUUUUCGCUACUUUGUUUUGUUUGCAUCGGGUUUUUCGAGUUUGCCGGAUUUACACCUAUUCAUCCCCCCUCUAGGUGUUACUUAUCUUUUAGAUCUUUGGAAUCCAUAUCUCACAAGUGGUAUCAGAGCGGGUAUAGGUUGUAAUACAUGGCUGAGGGCGGUAACAUCAAUCGACCCCCGCUCUUCGAUGGCACUAACUACGCCUAUUGGAAAGUCCGUAUGAGGGCGUUCCUUAUUGCUAUUGACGAGCGGGUUUAGCAAGCCAUUGAAUUCGGAUGGAAAAAUCCUACCGAAGUAGUCGAGAAUGUUACUGUGCCGAAACCUAGAAAUAAAUGGACGAAAGAGGAAAAUGAACUAUUUUCGUUCAACGGGAAAGGUAUCAAUGCUUUAUUCAAUGCUUUAAAUCAAACUGAAUUUUCUCGCGUCUCGGCGUGUGAAACCGCCAAAGAGAUUUGGGACACUUUGCGAGUUACACACGAGGGUACAAGCUUGGUUAAGAUUCAAAAAUUGCAAAUGCUUACUAGUAGAUUUGAUUCCAUCCAUAUGGAAGAACAUGAAUCUUUUACCGAGUACUAUACUCGUUUGCAAGACAUUGUAAACACGUGUGCUAACUUGGGCGAGAAAAUUCCAGAUUCCAAAAUUGUUCGAAAAAUUUUGAGAACCCUUCCCGAACGAUUCCGUCCUAAGGUUGCGGCUAUUGAAACGGUCAAACAUCCUGAUGAACUCAAAGUAGAAGAAUUAGUAGGUGCUCUUCAAACUUAUGAAAUGACUUUUUCUUCUAAUUCGUCUUCUUCCAAGUCUUUUUCUAAAGCUUCAGGGAUGGCUCUAAAAUCAACAAAAGGAGAUGUCACUUCAACCUCAUCAGAUUCAGAGUCGGAGCAAAGCUUGGAGGACUUUGAGAAACAACUCGCACUUCUAACAAAGAAGUUUCGUCGAAACUUUAGAAAGAAGUUUCCUUCCAAGUCUACUUCAUCCAAGACAAACAAAUCUAAAGGAGGUUCGUCUUCUUCUUCCUCAACAAAAUACAGGAAAUCUGAUAACUCUCAAAAGGACUCCACAAAAGAGAAGAAAAGUGGUGAAGGUCAAAUUCAAUGCUACAAGUGUAGGGGCUUUGGCCAUAUAGCAUCUAACUGUCCUAAUAAAAAGUCGUUGAAGAAGAAAGCUAUGCAAGCUAUGACUUGGGACGACUCCUCAUCUGACGAUUCCACUUCGAGUGAAGAUGAUGUAAAUGCCACGGCACUGUUUGCACAGGAUUCAACUUUCAUGUGUUUAGCAUCUGCUGACUCGAUUUCUACGACAUCUAUACAAGAGAAGUCAUCUUCGGAGAACUCAUCGGAUGAAGAAUCGGACGAAGAUGACAUGGUCGCAGCAUAUCAACAAUUGGUUGUUGAAUCAAAGAAGAUGGCUAAACACAACAAGAGACUGCGGCGAAGUCUGCAUGAGUUGGAACAAGAAAAUUCAAAAUUGGUCUCAUUAACAAAGGAUCUAGAGCAAGAAAGAGAUGGGUUGACCAAGGCUUACAACUCUUUGCUUGAGAAGUGUUCGUUACUUGAAAAAGAAAAGGAGACUCAAGUGGAGAACAUCAAUUUUCUUACCAAGCAAAACUCAGAAGCUAGAGAAGCAAAUAUGGAAUUCACCAAGACGAUCAUUCAACUGAAGUCGGAUUUGAACCAAUUUUCAUCUGGCUCGAGCAAACUAGACAAGAUGCUUGGACUUGGUCAAACAAAUAAACUUGGACUUGGUUAUGAACGGACAUAUAUUGAUCAAGUUACGAAGAAGGAUGAUGGAAACUCGUCAACUGCUGUACCUAAACUUUAUGGUAAGUUUGUCUCUCCUAAAAACAAUUUGACUAACAAAGCUUGUCAUAUAUGUGGUGUUUUAGGACACAUAAAGAAAUUCUGCUACCAAAAGGGAAAGAGCUCAAUAGCACCUUUGAAGAGUGAUCCUAAAACGACAACGAAGUCAACUGUGAUUCCAAGGAAGAUAGAACAUAAGAAGAGACAAACUUGGACACCAAAUACUCCGAAGCCAAAGGCAAAACAAGCGUGGAAACCAAAGAAGGAGGAUAUGAAGAGGAAGUCAAUUCAAAUCGUCGACAAGCCACGAUCAACAAAAGCAAGCGAACUGACACAGCCCAAAACACGUAAGGUUUGGGUGCGCAAAGGUGAACUCUUCCCAUGCCUAGUUAUUCACACUUCGCUUCAUGCUUACGAUAACUCAUCAUGGUAUCUGGAUAGUGGUUGUUCCGUCAUAUGACCGGAGACAAAAAUUGGUUUACUUCUUUGACCAAAAUCUCCGGAGGACUUGUUGUUUUUGGGGACGGUCGAUCGUCAAAAAUUGUUGGCAAAGGAACAGUGACUAUUUCAGAUGGCCCUACGUUGAACAAUGUUUUUUAUGUUGAGGGGCUCAAAUCUAAUCUCGUAAGCAUAAGCCAACUGUGUAAUGAUGGGUAUUCUGUGAAUUUUUCUGAUAAAGAAUGCCAUGUGAUUCGUGAUGAUAAUCUGUUUUUAAAGGGCAUUAGAUCUCAGAAUAAUUAUUAUGUAGUUCCUAGUUCGUCCACUGAACAUUGUAACCUAGUUUCAUUAGAAACUGAAACCUUAUGGCAUGAACGACUAGGUCACAUAAACUUUAAGGAGCUGUCAAAGAUAACCAAGAAGGAGGUAGUUUGAGGUGUACCUAAGAUUGAUUUUAAGGAGAACACUGUGUGUGGGGGUUGCCAAUUGGGGAAACAAACUAGAUCCACACAUAAGAACUUAAAUCACUUAGGGACUACUAAGCCCUUAGAGUUACUGCACAUGGACUUGAUGGGACCAUCUAGGAUUCAAAGUUUGGGUGGAAAACGUUAUAUCUUGCUUAUUGUUGAUGAUUUUACUCGCUUUGUUUGGAGGGCCUUCUUACGAGAAAAAGCUGAUACUUUUAAUUCUUUUUCUGAAAUCUGUCUACGUCUUAUGACUGAACGAAAUGAUAAAAUUGUACGCAUUCGAAGCGAUCAAGGGGGAGAGUUCAUAAAUUCCAAAUUUGUUGAUUUCUGUGUUUCAAAUGGUAUAAAACAUGAAUUCUCGACCCCUUAUACACCCCAACAAAACGGAGUGGUUGAACGUAAGAAUCGGGUUGUACAGGAGAUGGCUCGUGUUAUGCUUCAUAGUAAGAAAAUUGCUUUACAUUUUUGGGCCGAAGCAAUUAACACAGCUGUCUAUGUUAUCAAUCGGAUUUAUGUGUGUCCAGGCACCUUGAAUACGCCUUAUGAACUUUGGCUUGGUAGAAAACCUAACAUUAAAUACUUUCGUGUCUUCGGGAGUAAAUGUUUUAUCCUUCGGGAUCGUGAAAAUCUUGAAAAAUUUGACUCUCGCAGUGACGAAGGCAUAUUUCUUGGUUAUUCUACUACAAGUCGUGCUUAUCGUGCGUACAAUUUACGAUCUAAGACGGUGAUAGAGUCUAUCAAUAUAAAAGUAGAUGAAGCUUCUUCUGUAAGUUCUUCUGUGAAUGGUUCUUCCAACUCUCUGAUGAAUGACGAUGAUAAUGAUUCUCCGUUUGUAAUGCCUGUGAAUGAUGAUAUUUCUACACCUGAUAAUUCCAUUGCAUCUUCUGAAAAUAUCGCAUCAAAUGAUUCAUCUGAGCCACAAAACAUCACGGCUGAAAUCCCGAGUACAGAGACUACCCCCCUGACAGAGUCAAGAGAUCAUCCUUUGUCAAAUGUGAUUGGGGAUCCUAAUGUUGGUGUGCGAACAAGAAGUCAGUUACAAUGUGAAUUUGCAUGUUAUGUUUCUUUGAUCGAGCCAAAGAAUGUCGACGAAGCUCUUGUUGAUGAAUAUUGGAUAAAUGCCAUGCAAGAAGAACUUGGUCAAUUUGUUCGCAAUGAUGUAUGGGAAUUGGUGCCUCGUCCUGAGCAACAACACAUUAUUGGUACCAAAUAGAUCUUUAAAAAUAAGAAAAAUGAAGAUGGUACUAUUGUGCGGAACAAAGCUAGACUUGUGGCUCAGGGGUACUCUCAAAUUGAGGGGAUAGACUUUGAAGAAACUUUUGCUCCGGUUGUCCGUCUUGAAUCUAUUCGUAUCUUGUUCGCGAUUGCUUGCCAUUUUAAAAUCACGCUCUUUCAAAUGGAUGUCAAAAGUGCGUUUUUAAAUGGAUUUUUAAAAGAGGAAGUUUAUGUUGAACAACCGAAAGGUUUUAUAGACUCAAAAUUUCCAAAUCACGUUUUUCGACUGAAAAAGGCACUUUAUGGACUAAAACAAGCUCCGCGAGCAUGGUACGAACGCUUAACAAAAUAUCUUUUGGAAAAGGGCUAUAACCGAGGGGGAGCAGAUAGAACUCUUUUUGUGAAACACCUGAAGGAUAAUUUCAUUGUAGCAGAAAUAUAUGUGGAUGACAUAGUUUUUGGGGCUACUAAAGAUAAGGAUGCCGCUGAUUUUGCAAAGUUAAUGACCAGUGAGUUUGAGAUGUCAAUGAUGGGGGAGCUUAAUUAUUUCCUCGGGCUUCAAGUCAAACAAUCAAAAGAUGGAAUUCAUUUGUCACAGACAAAGUAUGCGAAGGAACUAGUUAAGAAAUUUGGAUUAGAAAGUGCAAAGGAUUUUGACACUCCAAUGGGUACAAGCAACAAAGGACUGGGAUUGAAUUCAGAAGGUCAGAGUGUGGAUGAGAAACAAUACAGGAGCAUGAUUGGUAGCUUAUUGUACUUGACUGCGAGCAGACCAGAUAUUGCGUUUAGUGUUGGAAUUUGUGCUCGUUAUCAGGCUAACCCUAAGGAAGUACAUCUGAAAGCAGUGAAAAGAAUCAUUCGGUAUGUUAAAGGAACAACCGAGUAUGGCCUCUGGUAUCCAAUGGGAACAUCUCUUGACCUAAUCGGCUACCCGGAUGCUGACUGGGCAGGGUCCGCAGAUGAUCGAAAAAGUACUAGUGGAGCUUGUUUUUACAUUGGACAUUGUUUGGUUGCUUGGCACAGUAAGAAGCAAAAUUGUAUUGCUCUUUCCACUGCAGAAGCUGAAUACAUUGCGGCUGGAAGUUGCUCUACUCAAUUAAUUUGGAUGAAAAGCUUACUGAGCGACUAUCGGAUUCCUUCUACCACUCUAACUAUUCUGUGUGACAACACGAGUGCAAUUAAUAUUUCUAAAAACUCUGUUUUACAUUCUCGAACAAAACAUAUUGAACUAAGAUAUCAUUUUUUAAGAGAACUGGUAGAAUCAAACGUUUUACAACUUGAAUACAUUUCAACUGAAAAUCAACUUGCCGAUAUUCUAACCAAACCUUUGGAUCAAAAGCGUUUUCUGCAUUUAAGAAAGGCAAUUGGUAUGAAUCCUUCAAUCUAGAUAUAUUCUAUUGAGCCACAGACCAUGUGCAUGUUGCAUAUUUUGUUUCGUUUCUUGCAUGAUUUUCGGUGUUUGAGGGUUGAUUGAUUUUUUUGCAUGAUGUUGCUGUUUUGGGAGAUGAGUUGAUCUGUGAAUUUAAGUAUUUCAUAUUUAAUUUUUGAUUAAUCACUGUCAGAGUUAUUCUUUAUUGGCAUAUUUUUGAACGAUCAAAUCAUUGAAAUUCUAUUUAACAUAUUGAAUCAAAUUCAGCACCUCAGGCUUUGAACUUUGAAUAUUGCAAUUGUUUGUUUGAUUAUUAGUUUUGAGAUGAUUAAAUCUUUCUCUAUUUUUGAAAUUGCGAUAAUAUUUUUGACUUGAGGGUUGCACUAAUUUAGGGGGAGUCUUGCCUAUUUUAGCUAUGAAAAUUUAUGAAAUACAAGAUGUGGAAAGAGUUACAUCCCCGCUGGGAGUGUGAAAACUACCACCACAUGGAGGAAAGAGCUACCACCCCGGUCGUCCGGUCAGUGUGUGCAGCUACCACAUGAUGAUCAAUAUAUCUCUAUGAGCUAAAAGCCAAUAAAGAAUGAAUCAAUAUGAGAUGUUGUGGAGAUGGUAAAAUUCUAAUACUAUGUUUAAUACAUCUCCUAGGCGAUAUAAGGUGGUUUGUUAAAAGAUGCUCAAAGAGCCACUCUUAUCUCGAAUUAUGUGCAUAACUCAAGUUGAGAAUAUUCUUUUAAUUUCAUGAUUAUGAGAUUUAUUUAUUCAAUUUCUUAACAAAUAUGAUGAUAAAAUGAUACAAUUUAUCCCUAGAUCUUGCGUGAUGUGUGGAAUUUUAUUUGAUACUUAUCAAGAAUUUUAUUUGAUUUUCGGAUCAACAAUAUUUGCCAAAUUGAAUAUCUUUGAGAUUGUUUUUCAAAAUUUAUUUAUGAAAUUUUAUUGGAAGUCUUUGGGGAUGGAUAUUGUGUAUUUUGAUGUUGGAUAUAUUGAGGAUAUUAUAUAAAAUUUCUAAAAAUUCUGGACGAAUAUUAGAUUUUUAGGUUUUGGCUCUGGGACCGGUCCCAGACUUGGAGAGACCGGUCCCUCCACCCGAACCGAUAUAAGGGUUUUGCGGUCUGUUUCUUUUUACUUUACCAAUUUCGUUCAAACUUCUCUCCAGAGCUUCUAAUAUCCCUAGGGUGCUUUUGCUUCCAUUCUUCAUUAAUUUACACUUGAUUUUGGUAUGAUUCUCGGAUUUUAUUUCGUUGUUGUCUUAUACUCCGAAUUUAUGCUUUGUUUUCAGUUUUUUUGGGAUUUGAUCUCAUUAUGUUGUUAAAACUCUUCAUUUUUGCCCUGAUCUUACCUCUAGACAUGUUAGUCAACAUUUUCAUGCAUUAUUCCAUACUUUGAUUGUCACGCCCCGCGACCGCUACCAAUUUGGUCCGGCCCGGGCGCGUCGAACAGACGCCGAACGGACAGGACCUCCCCUGUCCGUCCAAGGCUAACCAACAGAUCGUGCAUAAGAAUUUACCCAGGAAUCAAUUCAUAAAUACACGAUCAAUAAGCACCACUAGUGCUAUAAACAAGAGCAAGAUACAAGUAUAGAAACAUAUACAAGUACAUAAGAGAGAAGAGACUAUCUAUUACAUUCAUUUGAUUUACUACAUUUAGAUACAUCUUUUACAUUCUUCCAAAAUAUAAAUACAAGCAAUCAACCCUCACCCUAUACAACAUCUACUCUCAAAUACAAAAUGGGUGACGGCUAAUGCAAGAAGAGGAGGUAGCUAAUGCGACUAGAACGCCGGGCCCUUACCGCGAUCCUCGCGCUCACCGGGGAUGCCCGAACUGGAACCUGUGGUAAAAUGGGGGUGAGAACUAACUUCCUUAGUUCCCAGUGGGUUCGGCCGCCGACUCCGCCGAUCUCCCCACUAGGUCCAAGCGGGCAUAAGUAGACAAUCGAUAGAUAGGUAGAUAGAUAAGGAAAGCUGUAAAUGGCGGAAAUGAAGCUACUCUACUAUGCCCAAUCAUAAUAUAUGAUGCAUGUACAAUGAAAUAGGUAAGCAGCUAACCAGUUAUUAUGUCCAAAGAUAAAGCUAUUCACUCGGUCGUUUUCCUCAUUUACCUGUUCAUCAAUCUCGUGGCUUACCCGAAGGCUCGCCUACAGCUCACUAGCCAUCUCGACACGUAGGGAGAAUUAACUCACACUACGGACCCGAGACCGUCUGGCGGGGCCAAAUAGGCAAUCCCUGGCGUGACCAACAUCCGGAGCGCACUACUUGUGUGGGGCUUCCAUCACAAGAUUUAAACAGACCGUGAGCAUGAUCCAAUCCUCUAAGCUCGAGGAUACCCUGUCCUCUAGAGUCACAAUCAUCAUAUAGUCCAUAGGUUUCAUAUACACUAUGACUCACAUAUGUGUCAUUUGUUCUCUUGCUUACUAUCAACUAAAUGCCACCCGUCCAUUGUUUACUAUCGACUAGAUGCCACUCGUUCUUUGUUUAGCAUUAAACCAACCAUUGAGCCCAUCACUUUCUCGGCACUAUAGGAUUCACAAGUCUCGACCCAAUCCUUAUCAAUCCACUACGUCAAAUAUCCAAUACAUGCUACGAUAUCAUCAAGGAAGGCAUAAGGAAAGGCAAUGCAUAAUCAUCCUAUAAUGCAAUAAUGCAAGAUGCAAGAGUCGACAUGUACUAAGACAUAGAAGGGAGCCCGAUUGCUUCGGGAUGGACACCACCCACCUCUUGGCGAUGCCGCGAUGAUGGAAAACUCGACGUUGCGGUCUUUGCACGUCGCUUCAACUCCUCGGGGCGAAGCGAGCCCUCGAGUACCCGAUUCGGCGAUAACUCCGCACUCGUUCGUCGGAUCGGCAAACCGUCUUCGCCGACGCGUUCCGAGACCUAGCAAUUUGGUUAGCGACCCAACAAAUUAGAUCAAAACCCUAGAUUUCCCAAAAUCCCAAUCCGUGCCCUAGAAUGGCGACGAGAGGGAAAUCCACGGUACGAGCUUCGAUUUUUUGAGCUCGAACCUUCUCCCUAGUUCCAUUAGGUCCCAUUCAAACCAUAAAAACCCCAAAACCCUAGAAACACGAUUAAAGGGUUUAGAGCUUACCCCUACACAAGGUUCCUUCAAGCUUGAGGGAGAGGGAGAGAAGAAGAUAUCUUCUUCUUCUUCUUCUUCUUAGUCUUCUCUUUCUCUUUCUUCUUCUUUCUCUUCUUCUUCUCCUUCCUCUUCUUCUUCUCCUUCUUCUCUUUCUUUUCUUUUCUUUCUUAGAGAGAGAGAGAAAAGAGGGUAAGAGAGAGAGAGAAAGCAGCUGAGAGUGAGAGAGAGGGGUCCCCCACCUCUAAUAAAGGCCAUUUUGCAUAAAAGCCCCUCAACUUUCACCCUAGUGCACUACCCUCACUGGGCAGUUUUCGCGCAGAGGGACCGGUCUCCCCGACUUGGGACCGGUCCCCGAAGGCUGCCAUUUCGAGCAGAGGGAUUUUCGCGUUCGGGAACCGGUCCUUGCCUGAGAGACCGGUCCCCGGGAGACCGGUCCUUGUCCGAGAGACCGGUUCCCGAGAGCUGCAUUCUCGGGACUUAGCCAAAUUUGGCUAAGUCUCGCCAGGCCAACGUUCGGGAACCGGUCCCUGCCCGCCAGGGACCGGUCUCAUCAGAGACCUCCGCAACCCAGCCUGAUGGAACCGGUCCCUCCCUGCCAGGGACCGGUCCCCGAGAGCAUUUCUGCUCCAGUGCAGAUUUUGCACUCGUGCUCCCGCGGACCCUUCUUUAAUGCACUUUAUGCAUUAUAAUCGCCUUCGGACUUUCCGAAGCCUACACCCUCGACGAAUAGUCGAUUCUAAUCGAAGUCUAAUCCUCGAGUUUCGAGAAUUCACUUCCUUACANAUGAAGCGCUUGUUGAAUAUGAUUUUUGACAAAUUAGGAUGUUGUCGGGCAGAUUUACCUCCGGGAGAUGAUUCUGACUAGGAGUUACCGGGCUUCUCUUUUUGUCGUUUUGGCGCUUUCUGACAAAAAGGGGGAGAUUGAUGAUGAUGAUGAUGAUGCUUUAUUCUUGAUUUUGAUGAUGAUGUAUUUAGCUAAGAUGAACUUUGUUUAGUUAGUGCUUUAGGUGUUUGUGAUUAUGAACUAUGACUUGAUAGUUUGUUUGAUCUUGAUACUUGAUCUUGAUACUUGAAUCUUGAUUAUGCUUUGAGAAUGUUUUUGCAGGAAUAAUUCAAGACUUCAAGACUCCAUGUCUAAGUCAUAGAGUUUGUAUUAAGGGUGUACAAGCGUAAAUUUCGUUUUUUUUUGGAUUGAUCAUGCAAGAGAUUAUCGUUUGGUGAUUGCGAUGAUCUUCUUUUUAUGAUUUAUUAGUUGUAUACAAACUUUGUAGUAUAUUUUAUUACGAAAUCGCCAAAGGGGGAGAUUGUUAAGGAUUUUAUAGGUUGGCGAAUUUCGUAAAGUUGUUUGGAGUCUUGAAGAGUUGAUCGCAGAAGUUAUUCAAAUUGGAGAACGAAGACUCAUUCGGAAAGCUCGACACCUAAAGUAUGAAGAAAAGAUUAUUUGUGGUGAAGAUACCUGUAAUGCACUGGAUCUUAGCAAAUUGCAAGAUUCGAGUGUUUGAUCUGUAUGUGGAGCCUUUCCACAGUUUUUGGAGGGUCGUUGAUAGUGUCCCGACCCCUGGCACGCAUCCCGAGGAUGUUGGAGUAGGACUUGGCACCAAAAUUCCAAAAUCGGAAUUUUUGGACAGCUCUCGGGUAGCCUGCAGCAGGGCUUGUACCGGAACAAGACUGGCCUUGUACCGGUACAAGGGUUGAUGGUUGUACCGGUACAGCCAUCGGGCUUGUACCGGUACAGAGCCGCAGACCGAGCAACCCGAGCUUCGGGUUUGCAUUUUCGUCGGCCUUGUACCGGUACAAGAACCCGUGUACCGGUACAAGGAGGCAGAUUUCGUGCAGAAUGAAACUGCAGGGGGUUUUGUGCGUUUGUAGCCUUCUAUUAGUAACCCCACGCCCCUAGGGCAUCUCCUGAGCUUGGAACCUGCAGGGAGAAAGGUGAGGAAGCCCUCCACACCUUCCUUUGUGAUUUCUUUGAUUUUGGUUGGGGUUUUAAGAGAUUAAACCUUCUUUUUUGCUCCUUUUGCUUGUUGGAAGCUUUUCCACCAUUGGAGCUUGAUUUUGGAGCUUGGUAGAGGGAAGAUCUUGGGACUUGGAUAGUUUAGAGCUUGGAUUGAAGCUUCUAAGAGGUAAGCAACAUGUUCUCUCCCUCUAGAUUCAAGUUUUAUUGAAGAUUUUGAGAUGAAACCCUAGAAUGAGGUUUUAGGGUUAAUAUUGGGCAUUUUGAAUCUAGGACUUUUGAAGCUAGAUUGAGUGGAUUAGAGGCUUCCAUUAGGUUGGAUUGGAUGAGCCCUAGCUUCAUUUUGGAGCUUUAGAGGAGAUUUUGCACUAGAGGUGAGUUUUCUACACCUAUGCUUGAAUAGCUUAAUGAUUGAGCUAUUGGUUAUUCGUAUGGUUCGUGUGACGCUUGUUCUUGUACCUCUAGGAUACUAGGAGACUAGAGGACACCCUCGUGGGAGCGCACGAGGAGUUUCGUUGUCAUCGGUGGGUUUGGCUUCCUUGAAAUCGGAGGAAAAUUCCUCCGAAGUGGUUAAAUGCUUUCAUGCUCCUUAAAUUCAUGCAUAUUCAUGUUUAGUAGCAUUUAUGAGAGUUUUUGAAUGCUUAGAACUCAUAUGUUGUGCAUCAAGAAAAUUUACUCUAUGUAGUAGAGAGAGAGAGACAAUGUGCUUUGUUAAUAUGCAUGCGACGAAUAUUCUAUGAGAUGAUAGGAAAUCAAGAUUCAUGCUUCGAUUUUGACUAGAACUAUAAGUUCUUGAACUUAGUAUCCAUGUUGGGACAAAAUGAGCCAUAGUGUCAUAAAGAGGCACUUGGACUAUUGUGUAUUUUUGAUGUUGAAUAUGUUGGGGAUAUUAUAUAAAAUUUUUGAAAAUUUUGGACGAAAAUUAGUUUUUUAGGUUUUGGCUCUGGGACCGGUCCCAGACUUGGAGAGACCGGUCCCUCCGCCCGAACUGAUAUAAGGGUUUUUGCGGUCUGUGUCUUUUUACUUUACCAAUUUCGUUCAAACUUCACUCCAGAGCUUCUAAUAUCCCUAGGGUGCUUUUGCUUCCAUUCUUCAUCAAUUUACACUUGAUUUUGGUAUGAUUCUCGGAUUUUGUUUCGUUGUUGUCUUAUAAUCCGAAUUUAUGCUUUCUUUUCAGUUUUUGAGAAUUUGAUCUCAUUAUGUUGUUAAAUCUCUUCAUUUUUGCCUGAUCUUACCUCUAGACAUGUUAGUCAACAUAUUCAUGCAUUAUUCCAUACUUUGAUACAAUUGUUUGGUUGUUUUUGCUAUAUUUUCUUCAUCAAAACCUAAUUUUUUCAAUUUUUUCGGAAAAAUGUGAUUUUAUGGAUUUUUGUUGCUUGAUUUGUCCAUGAUUUUCUUGGUUAUGUGGCCCUAGGAUUAUCUAGCAUAUUACAUAUCAAUUUGCUAAAGUUUUUUUUGGAAUCACAAAUCGAUUGUUCUUAUGUUCAAAAUGUAUAAAUCAUUGUGUUUGACAGGGGUUUCUUCGAAAAUGUACUCGUGGCUACUUGUUCUUGUGGUUCUUAUGGCUGGCGGUGGUCGUGGAAGUAAGCGACAGCGCUCAAAAGCUAAAAGGUCGAUUGAGUAUCAACCGGAGGAUGAAGAGAGCGAAUAUGCUCCUGGCGAUGAUUCUGAGGAGGACGAGCCGGAUUGGGAGACUUUUGUUCCUGAGGUAUUAGCUAAGGAUAAGGAUACUGCGAAAGGCAAGGGAAAAGGAAAAGCCGUGGAUAAAGGCAAAGGAAAGGCGACUGAGCGUCUCGGUCGUCGUAAGUCCGGGGGUGUUGAAAUUCGAGAACCGGGCUCUGAGCCACCACGUCAUAGUCUACAGGAUGUUCCAUCUAAUCGACGGUCAAUGUAUUCGUCGAAACACUGCAUUGGUGAGCGAGAUGUUGGGGUGGCCAGUAUCACUAGUUGUGUGCCGGGUUUUCAGGAUUUAUUUGAACGGGGAAAUCUUCAUCAGAUUUGUGAUUUCCCGGAGCAAACCGGUUAUUGCUUGGAGUUGAUCAGAGAAUUUUACAUGAGAGCAGGUCACCUUAGUGACUCCGACGGCGGUCCGUACGUAUUUAAAACUUCCGUACGUGGUGUUGAGUUAUCCAUCACUCCUGAGACAAUAGCUUCGGUGCUAGAGAUGGAGGCAAAGACUGACGGAGUGGAGUAUCUGCAGGCCGGGUUCGACUCACUUCGCGAUUGGAACCGUGUCUUGAACACUAUUUGCAUGCCGGGUACUGAAUCAAACGGCAUUAUGGUUAUGUCCAAAGAUUUCAAAAUGGAGUACAGAUUUCUGAACUUCGUGGUUUGCUACAACAUCAUGCCUCUCGCGAACACGAAAAUCUUGAGAUGGGAUCGCAUUCUGUACAUGUAUCUCUUGGGUAGGCCGGAUAUUGUAAGUGCCAAAAAUAUUAACAUGAAUAUUCCGUUUCUGAUCUGGCGGAGAAUGGCAAAAGAUAUCAAGACUUCCGGGCAAAAUGAGAGGUUACCAUUUCCUUUGAUAAUCAUGAGGAUUCUGCGACUUCGCGAAGUGGAUGUUCGUUGUACAUCAUACGAGCACAGUUUGGGUCGGAUAAAUGAACGGACAUUUGUGAAGUCCUCGGUGCAGCUUCGUACACCGUCUCAGCGUGCAUCUUCCCCUCCUGCAGCUCCACCUCCUGCUACUGCUACUUCUUCCCGUCCUUCUAUGGACAUUUCUGAGGAAGAUAUUUUCGUUUCAUCGGUGUAUCGCGAGCAGCAACGUCUAUCUGAGGAGCUUCAGAAGUUGUCUGCAGAACAAGCUGCGAUUCGUAAGGAUGUGAGCAAGAUGAAGCGCUUGUUGAAUAUGAUUUUUGACAANUGGAGUUGCAGCAAGGUCGAUUGGUGGAUUCCUAUCGAUCGAGGACCGGCAAAGAUCACCGUCAACAAGAAAUCGGUAAAUUGAGUCGUGUAAUUUCGUCGAAAUCACUUGUACUCGAGUUUUCUUAGUGGAUUUUCUUUGCGUGAUCGGUCCCGUGGGUUUUUCACUCCGAUUUGGAGUUUUCCCACGUUAAAUUCUCGGUGUGCUGUUUUAAUUUCCGCUACUUUGUUUUGUUUGCAUCGGGUUUUUCGAGUUUGCCGGAUUUACACCUAUUCACCCCCCCUCUAGGUGUUACUUACCUUUUAGAUCCUUGGGAUCCAUAUCUCACAUGGUUGUCUCUUAAUUUUGAAAUGAAAGACAUGGGUGAGGCGAGCUAUGUGCUUGGAGUGAAGGUCAUCCGUGAUCGCUCUAGAAAGAUUCUUAGUUUGUCUCAAGAAACUUAUAUUAAAAUGAUUCUAGAGUGUUUUAGGAUGCAUCAUUGCAAACCCGUUGACACUCCAGUGGAAAAGAAUCACACUUUGAGUCUUGAUCAGUGCCCUAAAACGGAUAAAGAAAAGGAGCAAAUGAGUAGGGUUCCUUAUGCGAGUGCAAUUGGCAGUUUGAUGUACGCUAUGAUGUGUACUCGACCUGACAUUUGCUUUGCUGUUAGCUUGGUAAGUCGUUACCAGAGCAACCCAAGACCUAUUCAUUGGCAAGCGGUCAAGAGAAUCCUUCGAUAUUUAAAAGGAACCAGUGAUCUCGUUCUCUGUUUUCAAGGUGGGGACUUGAGAUUAAAAGGAUAUAGUGUUGCUGAUUGGGAUGGUGAUAGAGAUGAGCGCAGGUCCACUUCAGGCUAUGUGUUUAUUCUUGGAGGUGGUGCAAUUUCUUGUGUAGUAAGAAGCAGAGCUGUAUUGUCUUGUCAACCAUGGAAGCGGAGUACGUUGCUUGUUCAGCGGCCAUUCAGGAGGCUGUUUGGCUGAGGAGAUUUCUCCAGCACCUCGACAUCGUGACUCGAGCAAAUGAACCUGUCGAGAUGUUCUCUGACAGCAUGGCUGCCCUGAAGUAUGUGAAAGAUCCAAAGUAUCAUGGCAGGACCAAGCAUAUUGUACAUUCGAGAGAUGAUCAGGGUAGACGAGGUCAUUCUUAGACACAUCUCCACCACUAGGAUGGUGGCUGAUCCGUUGACAAAGCCGAUAGCUAAGGAUAUGUUCCUGACCCACAUUAAGAGUUUGGGUCUUCGUAGGUUUUGAUAUGGACAUUAUUUUGUAUCUUACGCUUUAUUAAUGAAAAUAUGUUUUUCUCCUUUUAAUGAGAUAGCGUAAUUAAUAUUAGUAGGCACAUAUUCGUUAAGUCACCGGGCUCAGAUCAGCCCACUCACACGUGUGAUCGCCCUGGCACCUAAGUGGUGAGCAGGAUGAGACUAGAUAAUCAUAUUAAACUUGAGUAGUUGUUGUAAUAUGAUUACUUUGUUCAUAUACGUUAUGAAUGAAGUGUUGACAUAAUUUAAAAGUCGCCUUAAUUAGUUUAAGAUGAGACUCUAAAGAGUUGGAUAUGAAAGUUUUUUUGAGAAAUUUCAUAUCGAGCCUGUAUAGUAGCCGGACCUAAGUGCUCAGGUUAGAGAGAUGACUUGAGUUGUGGUGGUUAGAUACCUUAGUGGUACCUAAACCAAGGUUCGUAUUGUGUUUUUUUAAAGCGUGACGUGACCCAUUGAGUGGGAGCUCCGCCAUAGCAUACAUAUCAUACUGUAUGUGCCUGUCGACCAGUUAGUAGAGUGACAUAAGUUCUUCCCUCCAUGUCACUGUGUGAGCACUAACCCUUUUGUGCCCUCGACUUAGAACUACGUUAUGAAGUGGAGGUCCAAAGUAACUAACUUAGCAUGUAUCUCAGGGUCAUGAGAAAAUACGAUCUCGCGGAGCAUGUCUAGUAAAGUGCUUGGACCAAUACGGAUUAACGUGAGGGGCUGAGGAAGAUGUUUCGAUAACACACCACGUAAGUCUUGUGACUCAUUGCCCGGGCGGUUAUCUCGGUUGUGUUACUUGAGAUAAUCAUGAGUACGAGAAAUAACGGUAGGGUCGAGCCCUGUCAUUACAGGAGAGGGACUUUGUGAUGCUUGAUCCGGUGUGUGUUGAAACGUCUAGGGCAUAGAUGAAUUAAGUCAGUGAUGUGCUAUGUUAGUUGGGUGGUGACUUAAUAUAGCACUCCUGCAUGUGUUUCUUUCGUCAGGUCGCACGCUCCAUUACCCGUAUGAAGAGAUGAAUGAAUAAGAGAGAAUUGGCCAAUGUGGCCAAGUGGGAGAUUGUAGCCAUGUGGUGUGUCCACAUUGGCGGGUUUUAAUUUAACCCGAUCCACUUAAGAUGUGGAUUGGAAUUUAGCCUAAUAAGUUUAGGAUAAGAAUAAAUCCUAGGUUUCUUAUUAGUUAAGAAACGUAUCUACUAAUGUAUAUCUAUUAUAUGUUAAUAGAUAUCCUGAUCCUUAUUCUAAUCUAUAUGAGAAUCAGGAUAUUUAGGGGUUCCGUUAUUCUAUAUAUACGCCCCCUUUUCUCUCCGGAAAAAGUGACGAUCGCAUACGAUCAAAUUCGUAAGAACCAACGAAAUAUCUUCCUUAUUCUCUCUCUUCUUCCUCUCUGGGAUUUCUACCUACGUUCCCGGGGUUUUAGAGUGUGGACGUAGAAGAGGACUUUGGUAGCUCUCUUCGAUUGGCAUCCGUCGCAUCAGAUCCGCAUCCAAUCCGUGGCGUAAGGCGUACGCGUGGGAGAAGGCGAGAAACGUGGGACAUCCAGAAGCAUCGAGACAAGGAUGAUUCAAGAAGGCUUGUAAAACAAGUAAUCCGAUCUGAUUCGGACUUCCGGAUACGUUGGCUAUCCGGUUUGUAAGUUUCCGCUGCCUAUUAUUUCCAACACAGUAGAAUGGAAUAUUGAACCUCUUGGUGCAAUUAUCGUGUGAUACAAUCCUUCUAUUAUGAGUCCCGACUAGACGGAGGUUAUGGAAUAACUCGUCAAACCCCAUCGUCUGUCAUAUGUCAAAUUUAUUCGACUCAAAUUUCUAAUAUCGGAAACCCUUUUUCGCUAUUAACUCUGCCCUGGCCAAGGUCUUCUAAACUCGGUCUCAUAAAUCACAUAGGACUAACGCCCAUAUCUACCAAGGGAGAUAGAUUCCAUCUGAGUGCGCACCCUAUUCCUACAAUGAAUCUACUGCAGCCAACAUGCACCGCAAGGACCCGAAUGGCUAGGGACCAAGUGUAUGUACAGUCAAACUACAGUAACCUCAUUAUGAAUAGCCGAGGCACCGCAGGUCAAAGGACCAGUUACACUACUGUAAUAUUGAGUAAGUCACUGACGAGUGAGUAGACAUCCAAGUGACUUUUCGUGUUGGUCACGCUCGGUACCUUUGUUCUCUAACAACCACCUGCAUAUUCGCUUUAGUAUCCCCACACUGUUGACUCGAGACUCGUUUACCUAAAAAGGGAAGCGACCUAUGCACCAAUCUUACCGGAUCAAUCACCGUCCCCAUGAUGAUCCAUUGAUUGAGAGCAUUUAGGAAUUAACCACCAAUGACACAUGUAUUAAAUUCUCAAUUUUUGAGAAUAUAUGUCAUCAUCUUAUUAAUUCCUUGGACGAUUUAUGGACACAUACACAAUAUGAAUGGAAAUAAGAACCCAAAAUUAUUCAUAAUAAUUUAAAGUUAAAUACAAAUUUAUGUCCUAGAAAGGAUACAUGUGUCGGCCUGGUUGGCUUCUAGGGCAUACAUCUAACAAGCCAUAGGUCGGAACACUGUCAACGACCCUCCAGAAUAUCUGAAAAAACUCGGAACACAAAUCAAGCACUCGAACCUUGCGUUUUGCAAAGAUCCAGUGCGUUACAAUCCCCCACCCUGCCGCCGAUGCCGCCGCUCCCCCCACGCCACCGCCGCGCACUGCGGGAUCUACGCCGCCGACACCGUCCCUGCCUUCGUUCUCAGCACCAUCGCUUCAGCGCUCAGCGGCGCCAGCAUCGGGGCGAAAUCAAGCCUCGACGAAAAAGGAAGAGAGAGGUAGGGAGAGAGCAGAGAGCUAGCUCAGGGAGAGAGGUAUCGGAAGAGGCGAGAUAGGAAGAAGGGGAAGAGGGCAGAGAAGAUUUGAUACUUUCUUAAGAAGGAUGGGGAAGAUUUUGAACUUUUCCAAGAAUGGGGAGAUUUCAAAAAAUUUGGUAGAUUUCCAAGAAGGGAAGAUUUGGUAGAUUUCCAAGAAUGAGGGAAGAUUUGAGAAGAUUUUGUACAUUUUCAAAAGAGGAGAGAAUUACUUUUUCAAGAAGAAGGAGGGGAGAGCUGUAAUUUAUUGAGAGGUUGACACGUAUGCCAUCCAGAACUGUCAAAUUAUAGUAUGUAUAGACAGAUUCUAGAAUGCAAUACUUAUAUUGCUCAUGUGAUGUUCCUAAAUUAUCAGAAAGCUCUCUUAGGCUUCGUUUGAAUCGGGUAUUAGCAGGAACUGGUUAUUUUAGAGAUAGGUACAAGUUCAGAUAUAAAUAAGAAUUAGAUCAAUUUUCCAUCUGGAUGAAAACUGGAUUGUUUUUGAGAAUAAAAAAAUAGCGUUUGGAUAGAUAAGAUGUAAUAAAAAGAAUAGUGGGUAAUUAUAAAUAAAAAAUAAUGAUAUUACCCUUCUUAUUAAAUUUGAAUUUGAAUUUUAAAUUUUGUAUUUGAAUUUUUAAAUUUAAAUUUAGAAUUUAAAAUUUAAAAUCUCAAAUUGUAAAUUUUAAAAUUCAAAAUUUUAAUUUUAAAUUUUAAAUUUAAGAUCAAAUUAAAAUUUUAAAAUUUAAAUUUUUAAAAAUUAUAAAUUUUAAUUUUAAAAUUACAAAUUAUAAAUUUUGUAAUAAAUUAAAAAUUAUAAAUUUAUAAUUCUGUCUGAAACAAGCUGCUUGUUCCAGCUUGUUCCACCUAAGGGGUGGGAACAAUAAUUUCCGCCCCUUAAACUCUAGAAUAAAUCGUUAAGAUGGAACUAUUGUUCCCACCAAAAUUUUUUUGUUUGGAUAUAAGGAAAGAAGCAUUUAUUCUCUUCUUUAUACCCCAAACACAAUCCCAGAGUUAAUCCAUUUGAUCAUAAUUUUUUUAAAAAAAUAUUCAUUAUAUAUAUUUUUUAAAAAAAUAUAAUUAAUCGAUAUGAUGGUGUAAGUGCGUCGCUGUAGACUUUCUCCCCUGUUUCGGUCGGGUGAUUAGAUAAAGAGAUGUGACUGACUAGCAUUUGCUCGUCCGAGUAUUGGCCGGAAAGUUGUCGGGUGGUGCCGAGUGACCGCCGAUUUUGGUAGAGACGGACGGGUAUGGCGUCGCAGUCCUCUUCUGCUUCUCCUUCUUUCCCUUCUCCUACUCGUUCGCCGCCUACUCCACCGUAUCCCAGUGCCGCUAAGAUCUCCGACUCCCCUUGCUUUCCCCAGUACACCGCUUCUCUCAAAUGUAACCUUCUUCUUCUUCUUCUUCUUCUUCUUCUUCUUCUUCUCUCUCUCUCUCUCUCUCUCUCUCUCUCUCUCUCGACACACACGCACACGCAUAUAUCCACACGCGCACCUCGAAUCAGAAGAAAACGAUUCUAUUUUAUUCCAGUUCGAGUGCCUUUCGGGUAGGUUUGGGUUGUUCGUGCAAGUUUAUCUCAGAUUAAUUUGCUUCUGUAGUGGUGGUUGUUGCUAAUUUAGGCAAAUUCUUUAGACAAACGUCGUGUAUGGUACGUCUGCAGGCUGAGUAAAGAGGGCCUUCUUGUGCUUACUUUUGAUGAUCUAUAAGCAAAAGGUUCUGGAUUUGGUAGCAAUUCUUCCAAUUUGUGGAAUCUGAUUGGAGAAGCAUGGGAUUUUUUCUUUUUUAUAUAUUUUUUUUUCCCCCGUAAGGCAAGGUGCAAUUGGCAUAACUAUGUUUGUUUCGACACAAAUCUAAAUGACAAAACCAUGUUGCUUGAAUUAUCCAUGAUCCACACUAAAAAUUGAUGAGACUAUUUUGAUUGAGCAUAAUUUUAUGCGAAGAUAUCAUAGCUCGAGAGUAUUAGAUGGUUUAUGAGAAAUGUCAUGUCAGCUUUUGCUGCAACAUUGGUAGCGAGGAUGCAGUCGAAUUGCAGAUUUUGGGACAAUAUAUAUUAGUAGCCGAGGACGCCUCCAUAGUAUAUGCACCACUAGAGAAGUUUGAUGCCUACAAGCUAUGGCUCAUGUUAUGGAAGAAACAUCAACUAGAAAUGGCAUUUAACCUUCUUAUUCGUCACAGCUUGCACCGUCUAGAGUUUCUUCUGUGUUCGAGACAAUCUUGACCAUAUCUAAUUUCACGAUCUGUGGUUUACUGAACAACUAUGAGCUGACUUGGUGUGUUUUGUGUUUUAAUCAGGAAUAAUAAUCUUUCACUGUUCUCCACAACCAUGAGAGGAACUUGUUGAACAAAGCAUUAUCUUGUUUGCAGUUAACGAUAAAUUUGUUGGACAGAACAUCUAUGUGAUCUAGCUGGGCGAUAGGCAUCUUAACUUUCAUUUCUAGUGAGACGAAGCUCUCUUAGUGUGAUAAUUUAGACAUGUGCCUCCAAAGUUAUGAACAAAACCAUCCUUUCUAAGUUAUAUACUUGUUUAAGUAUCACUUUUAUUUAUUGUUGAACCAAGCAAGAAAACUUGUUUGAAUCAUAUUGACAUUCUAAAUCUCGUUAUAAAAGUUCAGCAUAGUGAAAUAUUGAAAGAACAAUUCAUUUUAGAUCUAAUUAUGCAAGCCAGGUUGGAGUAAAGUUUGGGUCAGUUUACAUUUUUCAAUUUUUUUUUUUUUUUUUGACCUUUCGAUGUAACUAAUUUUUUCUAUUAGUUUUUGGACUUGAACUUUGUUUCAUUUUUUGGAAGUUUAAGGAACAAAUACAUACCAUUUACAUAUUUUUGUUGUGGAACAAAUCAAGCACUAUUGUGGAACAAUUUAAGCAUUACUGUUUUAAUAAGUAUAAAGCCGGAGUUCUAGAAUAUUAAAAGUAGUUUAGUUUGAAUUUUUUCUCAUGUAUCCAUGGCUCUGCCUCUACUGUGCUUCUCUCUCUCUCUCUCUCUCUCUCUCUUUGCUGUUCACAUAUAAUCUUGUGUCACCUUUUUCCUCCAGUAAACAUAUCGCUGCCAUUCUCUACUUUCCUUACAACCAAGCAAUGAAGCAACCCAAGGCCCCUGCGCUCCCACCAAUGUGAAGCUUGAGAUAGACAACCACUGGACGUCUCUUCUGCCUCCUUAUAUCAAUGCUUACCUCAUGUUGGAUCAUCACCGUCAUUUCUUUUUUAUCCGAACUUCUCAGAGAAAAAAAACCCCUAGUUUGGAAUUUCCUACAAGAAUCUGUGCUGCCUGAAUUUCAAAGAUAAGUUCUUGCUACUCGCAGAUCAAGCUCGCUGUUUUGGUUUUGCAAAAAGUCCCCUUCUGUCUUGAAAAUUCAAAAAUCGUCCUUGCAAUUUUAUAUUGCUUUAGUUUUAUGUUCUAUGGCAGCUUGUACCUUUUGAAAUCCCUGCGCUGCAUCAAAGAAUAUGUAGUGGGUGCUUCAUUUCUGAUAUGGGUUUUGUUAAAUAUUUCCCUCGGAAUAGAAGCCAUGGCACAAUGACUGCUUACUAUACCUUUCUUCUGGUUGAGCACAUAAUAAGUUGCUCCACAAAUGAAGUUCUGGAGGCAGGUUAAAACCUAUGCUUUGGUUUCUCAUUGCUGAACCUUUUAGUGAUGAUGUCAGUUCAAAUCAACUCAAAUAUAUGCAUAUUCAUCUUUUUGUGACUUACUAGAUAUUAUUCAUAUCAUUCUGUUAAGACCACCCAAGAAGGAAAUGAGAGAAGCCAUAAUUAAGAAGUGGAUUCUAAAGGCAAUUGUCCUAAUGAAGCUCUCCAAUAGAUGAAUUAAACAUUUAGGUUGCUAUUAAAUGGGAAUGGCAAUAAAGGAGGACAUUUUUUACAAGUUUAUUUGAGAAGAAAAGUAAAAUUCGUGCUGCUUCAAGCCUCUAAAAGUAAAUCUACCUCCUAGGUAAAAUUAGUGCCGCAUUGUAAUGUGCUUCUUUGAUCCGUGCAAGUGUAGCAUAGGAAUCAAGAUGGAUAACUACUUAAUGAAUGUCUGCAAAUAGUUAACCUCUUUUAAACUAAUUACAUUGAUUAUUUUGAAUAUAUAAUUCUGAUUGAAUUUGGAAUACUGUUUAUGCAUUUUAUUCUAGUUGUUGUCACCAUUAAUAUGAAUUUUCUAAGAGACCCUAUAUCAUUUUAUAUGUGAUUAACAGUUGUUUAUAAGGAUAGCAUGGUUUUCUCAUACAUUUUCCAGGCACUGCCAUUAAAACAAGCCUGUGGCAUUUAGAUCCUAAUAAAUUUCUCUGAAAUUAGGACUAUAGUUAUUAAAUUAUUCUUUCUAUAUUUCUAGUCCUUUCAGUCGUCCUUCAACUUUCUCCAUGAGGAAUUCAAAUGAUCAAGGCCGCUCCUAGUAAUCCUAACUAUGUACGUGUACCUUGACAAGUCUUUGACAUAGAUAAUUGCUUCAGCCAUACAAUAUGAUAGCAAAUUGUUCAUCAUAACUCGUAGACGGUAAAGAAAGGUUAGCUUAGCGAUACAUGGAAGGUGUCGCCUAGCCCUAACCUUGUGCAAGCUGAUGAGAAUACGUGAUAAUGAAGGAGAAAUGCCAAUAGGAUUUUAAGUUAAUAUGAGAAAUUAGUCUUGUUCUAGAACCUUUGGUUCAAUUUAAUACCUGAGCUGAAGUUGACUUGUAUCUCACUAUAUUCUUUAGUGUUGAUCUCUGAUAUAAAGUUAAUACCUGAACUGAUGAUGGUAAGUUCAGAGGAAAUCAUUAAUUUGGCCUGGAUCUAACACUUAAGAAUCUAGAUUAAUUCAUAUCUUCUAGGUUUCAAUUAAUAUCUCCCAAGAAAGGCAAUCGGAAUAAUUUUAUGUAGGUGUGCACCUUUUUAUAGAUGAUAUUUAGCGGACGGUACUGCCGAAUUUGAUACUCUAGAUGAUAAUUAUGUGUAUUGGACUUCUUGAGUAGUACAAGUUUUCCAAGGAAAAUUUAAUUUUCUUAGAGGAUAAAUAGGUAUUUAUUGUUUGCAACAGUAUUCUUUAUUGUUUGCAACAUUAUUCUAAAUGGAAGUUAUUGACAUCAAUGUACAUGUAUGCAAGACAACAGUUGCUUUAAAGGAACUGUUAAUUUUGGAAGUCUAGAUGAUACUUAUCUGUAGUGGAUUUCUUUAUUAUAAAUUUUGCAACAUAAAUUUCACUUUCUUAACAGGUAGAUAGGCAGUUAUUGUUUGCAACAGUAUUCUAAGUGGAAGCUAUUGAUAUCAAUGUACAAGUAUACAAGACAACAGUUACUUAAAAGAAUAAAUUCUAGUAAGUACAAGAUUAGCUUCUGGACCUAAUGUUUUAAUGCCAAUUAUCUUUUUAAAUAUAUUUCCAUGAAAUAUGGGUUUACAAGGAAAUUAGAAUAAGAUAAAAAAUGCCCACAAAGCUUGUAAAACGAUUUGAAUGCUCAGGAUUCAAGAUGAAAAAAAAAAGUUAUAACAAUUAGAAAAUAUUAGAUACGGUUGGAUAAGUUUAACAAUUAUUCAUUAACAAUUAGUCAUCAUUAAAAUAAUGGACUGCCAAACAGUAAUUAAUCAAUCAUCUUCCAUGACUGUGACUAUAAAAUGGUUCAAGUUAUUAUUUCUGCCUAUUGAUUUCAAUUCUUUUUUUUAAUAAUUAUACUUUUUCCCUAUAGCAACCUUUCUUUCAUCUUUCCGUCAGUUUGUAUGAUAACUUAAUUGAGGCAAAACAUUUUAGGUCUAGAAGCAUACCAGGACAAGAGCAAAUGUCAACAGCAGUUUGAUGACUAUAAAGAGUGUAAAAAGAAAGAGGUUUGGUGCCCUUUACUCUGAAGUGCUUUAUUUUUUUCUUGCAUUUUGAAAUUGGUUUAAAGAUGGUGUGAUUUAUAACCUUUUUUUUUCUCUAUUUGCUUUUUUCUUUUUAUAAUGUGAUGUUAGUUGCUAUCAUGAUGUGUUUGGUUAUUCUUUAAAUAGGAAAUGUUACUUCGACCAUAUCAACAUCAAAAACUUGUUUGGAAAUUUUGUUUUCUUAUUGUGUUUUCUCGGAGUACUAUUGUAACACACUGGACCUUUGCAAAUUGCGAGGUUCGAGUGUUUGGUUGUAUUUCGAGCUUUUCCGCACGUGGUGGAGGGUUGUAGAAUGUAUUCCGACCUAAAACGUUCGAAAACUGGAAUUCUGGACAAGUCCUGAGAGUUUUUACUCUCGGGGACCGGUCCCUGGAAGGAGAGACCGGUUCCCCCAGUGAGCAGUNAUUGUACUACUUAUGAUUUCUUUAUUGUCUAGCUUUACUUGCUCUGAUAUCAUUAGUUGAUAGUUAUUUCACCUCGUCGUUUGCUCUAUUCUUGCUUUUACUUCCGCUUUUGUUGUAGACGCCUUAUAUGUGUUGACAUAUGGCGGGUCUGGGCACGCUACCGGGAGGGCCUCCGCCGGUCCCGGGGCGUGACAACUAUGGUUGGGAAAGGCCUAAGCAUAGCCUAGAGUAGGGCCUCAUUUCGGGCUUGGUUAAUUUUCUGCAACACCUGAAAAUUAAAGAGGGGAGCAAAGGCUUAGUAUAGUAAAAUAAUAGUAGAUAUGAAGGAAUAAAGGAUAAAAGGAGCAAGAAUGGAAACUUAUUUUCAUCCAUGGUGAGUUAAGCGUCCUCGGGAGGAGGAGAUACACUCAUGGGAGCUAGGGUUUGUGGACAGUGGCAAUUGGAAAAGGGAGGCAUGGGGUUAAGAGGAGCUAAUGUUAUAGGGAUAGAGGAGGAGAUCGAAGAGGCAUCCAACAGGAUCUAACAAAGUGGAGGAGAGAGAGAUAUAGAUAUCCUUAGCGGAUCAGGUGGUCGGGGUACUAGAACCAGACCAAUACGUGUAGAUAAGACGGGCCUGGGUCUGAGCAGAAGAAAUCAAGCCAAGCCUAAGCCCAAGCCCAAGCCCAUGCCCAAAGAGCCUAGUCCUUCCUAGAUUGAGGUUCAAAUAGCCCAAUACUUUUGUUAAUUUCUUUGUUUUUCAGCUUAGUUCAACAUUUUAUACAUUUAAUGAGAAGUAUAAGAAGCCUAUGUAAAAAAAUCUAAGGGCAUGAAUGGAAUUUACAGGUUAUCUUCUUCUCCAAUUAUCCUCCUUCCUUCUAACCCCUCUAAUCCUCUCUAUUUCUUAAUACCAAUCUCUCUCUCUCUCUCUCGCCGUCUCUAUCUCUCUCUAUCAGUCUCUUUUCCCCCUCACUGUAUUUCCAAAAAUUCUCAAGUAGAUCGGAUACCCUAUUAUUCUCAUUGUCAUCUUCUCUCAGCUCGGGGUCAUCAUGGUGGGUUACGACUAAGUCUGGGUCAUAAAAACUUGGUGUCAUAGUGGUCAUAUCCUUGGGAAAGGUGUGGUGUAAUCGCACACUGAAUCUGAUUCUUGGAUCGUUGUAUUAGCUUCGCGAUCUAGCUCCUGUGCAGCGAGAGAUGAUUUCGAUUAGGUUUCGACAAAUAAGGCCACUGCUGAGGCCACAUUGAUCUUAAAGCCGCAAACUGGAUUGAGCUGAUUGCUCUAUAGGUUGUUGGAUCCCUGACCUGCUGCUCACAGCAAUUGCAGGUGGAUCCCAAACACCAUAGAGCCCACGCAGAGCAACAAAAACUUGUUAAGCCCCGCUUUCACACCAGAAGCCCACGGGGACGUCAACAGACUCGCCGAACGGAAGGAGUUUAUCCUGUCCGAAUGAAGUGUCAACAAAACAAAACAAUAGAAAAACAAUUCUAAUCCUAUAAUCAACAACGAAACGAUUUUGAGAGUCUACAACUAACAUCGAACAUGUAUCAGAGUUCUAUAAGUAAUAGUAAAGCUACUAUACAUCACCGUACAUGAAAUCAUCACUCCAAUAUAUAAAUGUACAAAGAAAAGACCCUGGCCUCGUCAGUCCUGAUGUACAGUAUAUAUCCAAAGACUAUCUAGCUAGAUGCUCCUCUAUAGCUCAUAUACACGGGUAGGACUUGCUAUCUACAGCACAAUGCACUUACCUCGAACAACCAUCGGCUUAGAAGACCCUGAAAAGUAAACCACAAGAGGGCGGGAGAACUACUAAACAUCAUUCUCAGUGGGUGCGGUCGGCGACAGCCACGAUCUUCCCACUAGGUCUUACUAGAGGCAAGAAUAGAAAAGAAUAGUAAAGCAUACUAUCAAAUGAGCUACAGAGUAUAAUAUGAACAAAUGUAAUUUUAUUAACUAUAAUACCUCUAUACAUGUAACGAACAGGAAAGGAAGUGUACUUUUACUAACUAUCAUGCCUCUAAACCAUAUGAACGAAUGUACUUUUACUAACUAUCAUAUCUCUACACAUGUAACGAACAAGAAAGUAAGUGUACUUUUACUAUCAUGCCUCUUACCCAUAUGAACAAAUGUACUUUUACUAACUAUCAUGUCUCUGUACAUGUAAUGAAUAGAAAAGGAAGUGUUCUUCUCCUGAGUGAAAUUUAUAUUAAUCCUGCACAUACUAAAGAUACUAAAAAGCAGUAAAGAUUAACCCAUGCAUCAGAGCUACAACUAAGCGAGUAAUAGAGCAUAAUAGGAAUAGAAAGAUAAUAUACUAUCAUGCUUCUCACGGGAUUAAUAUAAGCAGUAAAAAUAACCUAUCUCUAUGUAGAUCAAGAUGUAUCAAGCGAUAGUGCUCAUGCAUAAAUUAGAAUGAUAACAAUAAAGGUACCACAUGCCCCAAUCAUAUACAAAUGUAUCAUACAACCCUAUCAUACACUAACCAACUCAGAAGUCCGGUCACGCCUGCGUCUGCCUAUUGCCCGAACUAUACUCCCGCAGGUGCGCCGUCGACAAGUAGCUAUGCCUCCAGCCCGGAUACCACUCUCGCAGGUGGUCUGUCUUCUCAAAGGCAAAUAUCUAUACUAAAUCACAAGCCAGCGUUCCGGAGCAACAGUCGAAGGGUAGCAACCCUUACCCAGUAUAAUAGCAUAUGUCACUAUCAAGCUCAAUGUGGCUUUGCAGGUUAUGGCUGAUGCAAUGAUCAAAGAGAUUACAAGUACCCAAUCUAGUGUCCUCAAUGCAAUAGUAGAAUAUUCACUAAUUCAUAUGUGACGCUAAUACAAUGAUAGGGCAAUUCCUUAGUCAAAUGUCAGAAUAGAAUAUACAUGUUCUCUUUCUAUGUCCAACCAUCUAUCCACUAUCGCCGCGCUAACGUAUGGCCUCUAUCACAUAAAUCAUGACCUGUACAAUGCAAAUGGAUAAUAAAUAACUUAUCACUAUGUACAUGAUGUUAAAUGGCCCUUCUCGGUCUUAGUUAUCAUAUGCAAAAUAAUUGACUAAUAACAAUUUUACAUGCUAUGACCAAUAGACUUGUGGUUCAUGUAAUAUAGUAUAGAUUAUUAUCCACCCAUAUAGGAUAGAAAUUUAUUUCUCUACUCAAUUCUAUAUUAAAAUAGCCCUCUAACAUUAUAUAUGAUAUCCACAUGCAACUCUCUACUCGAUUUCAUGCUAAUAUCAUUUCUAUCAAUAUGUAUAGUCAUACAUAUAUAUCCGUAUGUCAUGCCUAGGGGUGGCAAUCCAGCUCACUGUUCACGAGCCAGUUCCGAAAUAAGCUCGAGAUCGAAUCGCUCGUUUAAUAAAUGAGCCGAACACGAGCUGAAUUUUUCAACUCGUUUAAUAAACGAGCUGAACACGAGCUGGGGUCAGCUCGCUCAUGUUUGGCUCGAUAACAGCUCAAAUACAUAUAUUUUAUAUUUAUAUAUAUAAAUAAAUAAUUAUAUAUAUAAAAUAUAAAUUUUUAUUAUUUGGUUUUUAGCUUAACCUAAAUAUAAAACCCAACUCAAUUAUAAAAAGAUCUUUUAUAUGUAAAGUUUCAACUAUUAGAUCAAAGUCAAAUGGGUAAAGAUCUCAUAAUUUUAUUUUCUAUAUGUAUCCUUCAUAAUUCUUUUAACUUAUUGUUCAUGAGCAAGCUCAUGUUUGGCUUGUUAAUAGACGAGUCGAACACGAGCUGAAUUUUUCGACUCGAUACUUUAACGAGCCAGCUCGUAUUCGGCUCGUUUAUGAAACGAGUCGAACACGAGCGGGCCUCAGCUCGCUCGUGUUCCGCUCGUUGGCACCCCUCGUCACGCCUAUUGGACUUGUGAUUUACACAAUAUGUUAUAGAUUAAUACUCACAUACAACCAAACUAGAAUUCCAAUCCUUACUCAAAUUUUAUGUUAUCAUCUCUCUCUAUUAACAUAUAAACUCUUAACCUGGCUAUAGUAUUUUGGGCGGUGGCUAGACCCAAAAGGUUAAGAAAGUUAAGCGUGCUAGAGCUGGAGUCAAGAUAUAAAGUGUCGCGGCAUGAGAGCGUGCCGCUGUCUGCCUAGCACGAUACGGCAUCGGCACGCUUCCGUGCCGACACAUGGUACGCUUGCGUGCCGAUGGAUACGCAUAACCCCCUACUGGCAUACUUUAGUACGGACUUAUUUCAGUUUUUUUGAUUCCAAUAAGCUCUUAUAAUAUUAUUUUGAAAGAUUUAAUCAAAUAAUUAUGAAUAUUUGCUAUGUAUAGCUUACUAUACUCAUCAAUUAAUAUACUUGUAAGCUUUUUUAGAUGUAAAGUACAACUAUACCUGAUGUAGAAUAGAAAUUUUUAUAGGUUAAAAUUUUUAAAAUGCAAAGACAUCUUUUUUUUUCUUUUUUCUUUUGACCAUAUUACAGUCUUUUUUUAUCAAAUAGAAAAAAUAAUUUUUAAACUUAUUUAAAAAUUAUUUGAAAAAAUUAUUUUUAAUUAAUUGUUUCAAAAAAUUAGUAGAUCUAUCAAAAAAAUUAAGUCAUCAAUUAUAUGACAAAUAAAUUAAAUAAAUUUAAGUAUCAAAUAUCAAUUGAUUUAAUUUAACUUUUAAUUUUAUCACUAUUUUCAAUUUCUAAUGCAAAAAUAAAAUUUUAUGUUUGAUGUGGCUCAAAAUUUGUUUAUUGAGUUCGAUUUUGUUCCCAUAAUGUGGCGAAAGUUUCGCGGUGCGACAAAUUUUGAUAAAAUAAUUUAUGAAAAAAAAAUAGAUAUCUGUGGUGGAAGUGGAGGGCUCAAGCCCUCAACCCACCAUUGACAUCCGAGAGGGGUGCAGUUGGUGAUACCCCCCGCGGUAUGGAUCGGAUAUGUAAAUUAAAAAUUUGUCCUAUAUUGAUAAACAAAAAAAAUUAAAUUAUAACUUUUUGACUUGCCUAACAAAUAGAUUUUCGAUUUGCAAUGUCUUUGGGGUAGGGGGAUGUGGGGUAUCCAGAAUGCUUCAAGUACCUAAAAAAAAAAUAAAUAAAAAAAAUAAAAAAUAAAGUGCAUAGUGUCAGCACGGCAGUGUGCUGCGGCACGCGUCGCCGUGCCGCUCUGUCUCGUGCGGCACGGCCCUGCGUGUCGCGACACGAAGAGGGGGUCCUCAGACCCCCCUAAGGGGCACGGUAUACGGCACGGGACGACACUUCAAUCCUUGGCUGGAGUAGUCCUAAGAUUGGUGAUCCCCUGGGAAGUGGGGCAUCACAGUUGGUAUCAGAGCCAAUUACCAGCCGGAAAUAUGAGAUGAGUCUCGGCUUAGCCAGAUUAUACAGCAGGGAGAGCGAGGCUCUCAUACUGAUGACUGUUGUGGGUAGAGCGGGGCUCCCCCACAAUGUCGGUUAAGGCUAGCGAGAUGAGUCUCAUAUCAUCUCAUACUUGUGAGUCUGAGCCCGACGAGAACGCUAGGGCUUAAAGGGGGAAGAAUGUGAGACCCCAGGUAAUUCUAUAUAUAAGAUAUAAUAUGGCUAAAACUCUUAACCCGACUAUAGCAUUUUGGGCAGUGGCUAGGCCCAAGAGGUUAACAGAUUUAAACGUGCUAGGGCUGGAGUAGUCGUAGGAUGGGCGACCCCUGGGAAGUGGGAUAUAAACUAUAUACAUAUCCAUAUGCCUAUAAAUAGACAUAGAAGGAAAUUCGCCGUUUUCGGCGACUCAGAACCUACUUGAAUUGCUAAUCUCGGAAAAGAAAGGGUGACGGGAUGACAAUGCACUCCGCUGCUGCCUCCUCAACUGCAUGGCAGCCACAACGCCAAAAUCCCAUUGGCAAAUCCCACAACGAAAAUCCACGAAAAUCCAACCCCUAAAUCAUGCUUAAAUUAAAUUACUAAUCUCAAUUUCACUAAAAAUCCCAUCCAAUUUCUACUCAGAAGCAUCCCAAAAUUAUGCCUCGAAAAUCCGAAUCAACCAAAAAUAUUAUUAAGAUACUAACGUCCAAUCCGACGCACCGAAAAAAUCACAUGGACGCGCGUCCUUGACUGCCUUCUCGGAUCACCCACGGCCUCCACCUCUCUCUCUCACUUUUUCUCUCUCUCUAACACAUACGAAGAAGAAGAAGAAUGAAGUCCCUGUCACCCACUAAUAAUGCACAAAAUGCUAAAAGGUCCCCAAUAAUUCAAGUAUUCUAACUUUAGUUCAAUUCUAAUUUGUUAUAUCCAAUUGGAGCCCUUCUUUAUGUCUAUUUGCAUUCAAAUUUAACGUAUAGAUUCAAUUAAAAUUAAUCAGAAGUAAUUUAUCUUAACUUUUCAGUUUUCAAUCAUUUUAGGUCACUAUAGGGCAGAAAGAGAGUAAAAGAGAGAAUUAUGAGAGAGAGAGAGAGGGAGCACCAAACCUUGGGAGGUGAAGGCGACGGCGGGUGUGAAGUCACUAUUGGCAGAGAGAGAGAGAGAGAGAGAACUAUUAGAAAGAGAGAGGGAGCACCGAACCUUAGGAGGUAGGGGCAACGGCGGGUGCGAGAUGACUGAGAUAGAGAAAGCGACAGAGGGGGGAAAGAGAUUGAGCGGGAGGCGUAGGGUUAAACAAUGAAAGACAUCAGCGGUGAACAAUUCACCAUAUUUAAAAGUGGUCAACCAAAAGCGGUCAACCAUUCACUGCAUAUAAAAGUGGUGAACGGCUCACCGCUUUCUUGGCUUUUUAUGUAGCUGAAUUCUCUUGAAAGUGAAGCAGCAAAUCAUUUACCGCUUUUAUUAUUCUUUUCCCCCCUAAUCCUACCUGCCAUACUAGUGGCCUACAUUUUACAAUUAAUUUUUGUAAUUAUAAAAGUUGAUAGGAUUAUUUAUAGAAAAACUGUGAAGAAGCCAGUAAACUGAGCUGAGAACAACUGAUUAAACUGGUUCGGUCCAGUCUAGUUUUUUCACUCUAUUGUUUUGUUUUAGGCUUUUCAACUUACCAAACUGACUUAACCAGUUUGAUUUGUAUGUCUACUUUAAACCGACCGAUAUGCUCAUACCUAGUCCUAUGUGAUUGAAUCUGCUGGCUGAUGGCAGAUUGUGCAAACUAUACAUCUACCAUUUGGCGACAGAAUAACAAAAUUUAGGUCUCUUUUUGUUAAACUUCCGUCUAUUUUGUCUUUUAAACUCAAAAUUUUAUGCGAUGGUAUGCGCUGAUGGAUAAUGUAUCAACUUGUGUAUAUAUAACGUUUGUUUGGCAACAAAACUAAGGGCAAAAAAAAAAAUUCCAGUAGUAACAUUUUUUCGCUGCUUUAUUUAUUUUUUUGUUUUUUGUUGUUAUUGUUUUUUUUUUUUUUUCAAAGUAGAUGAGUUCGCAAGAUAACCAACAAUAAUGAUAAUGAAAUAAUUCAUCCACCAGCACACUCUGAUGUAUAUAAGUUGAGUUUUAAAAAUCAAAGAAAAUGGAACGGUAAUCAAGUGGGGCUUGAAUUCCAACACUUUUCAUAUUUUGCUCUUUUUCAAAAAUGAGUUUGCUGUGUAAACGGCCAUAACAAGGAUAGAAAAGUCCAUUAUUUUGCCAGUAUAAUAUAGCAAACAAAGGUCAAGGAAAUGGGUUGAUUUUCCAUCUUUUCUCACCCAAGUUUUGUCCUGCUCAAUCAAUGAAAUGAUAGCAACCAAACAAACUGGUAAUAUUUGUGAAGAUACAUUUAUCAACAUUGUGCUUCCAAAAGCAUCAUGUGCCGAAGCUUGAGAAAUAUCAUGUUAAUUCUCCAGUUGUUUCCAAGAGAUCUACAUGGUUCUUUCAAUAUGAUAGAUGUAUUGAGCCUUGGAAACAAAUAGUACACGUUUAGGUUGUAGAUUUACAAGUAGGUCUUUUAUUUUGAAUGUUGAAGUACUGGUAGGUUCAGGCUUAAGAUGGGCUCUGUGACAAGCCAAAUGAAGAUUGACUCUGUUUCUUUUCCACUCAUGAAACCAGUCUUGAGGGAAGCUGUCCUUUGUCUCCUAUGAAUUAUUUUUUUCAUGAAUUCUUUAAGCUCUCAUUUGAAGACUACUAAUCACUGUAUAUAAUGUUCUACUGCGUUAUGUAAAGACUCCUCAAUUUUCAGUAUAAAUGUGAAACUUGAGUUUCCAAACUUAAACUGAUAAACCACAAGACUAUGUAAGUUGUUUCACUAACUAAGCUUCGAAACCCUCCUAUUUCUAGUCUAAGCUUUCCUAUGGUUCUAGAUUUCCUUUAGCCUUGAACAUUCCAUUUGGUCUCUAGUAUUUGACUUUUUGAACACUCCCAAGGAUUUAAGUGCCGUGGUACGGGGUCGUGCCGGAAACUUGCCGACACUGUACGGCACAGUACGUGCCGAUGAGUGCCGGUCACAAAAAAUAUAUGUGUGCCGACACAUAAUGGCAUGAAAUAUUUAUUUUCUUUAGUAACAAAAUAUGCCAAUUAUUUAUUAUGUGUUUUUAUCAAAUCUUUUGAAUUUUAUUGAGAAAAUUACUUACUAAUUUAAAGAAUAGAGGGUUUUGAGUUGUACUAUUGGCACGCGGGCUAUAUCGUACCGAUAUCCUGUUGGAACGAUACGGCACGGUGGAUACGGCCCGUACCGAUGGACACUUUAAUCCUUGUUUACCAUAAAAUAAAUUAACGUAGAUUUUCUUGGAAUCUUGGACCAAGAAGCCCCUUCUUGAAAUAGGAGCUACAUUGACUUUGUAGAUAAGGACCUCGAAAUACACUUCAACCUUGGAAUACACUUUAAUUAUUGAUUUAUUUCAUAUUAUAGUUAUUUUCAGAGUUUCUAUCACUGCAAGUCCUAUACCCUAAGAAUGUUGCCCAAAUGAUCUUGCAUUUCUCUCAAUGGUGGUUCCCAGUAUUGUGCACAUCUGGAAUGAAAAGCAAGCUUUCAUAUGGUCAGUUUUGACUCUAGAUUGGAUAAUUUAUGUUCUUGCCGCUAACAUAAUCAGAUGGUCAUCAUAUUAUCAAGUACAUGUUUUACACAACCAUGAGCAGCUUGCAUUAACCAUAUGUAUCUUGGGGUUGGAUUCUCAUUGCUCCCUCCCUCUCCCCCUUUCACCCUUCAGUUGUACACAAAACAAAAGAAAAUUUAAAUACUUUAGUCCCAACUUUUUGCGUUAUAUAAUAUUCCUGUAUUUUAUAUUCAAUUUGCAUUUUGUUUAUUUACUUUCAUCUCUGAUGACAGAGGGAAGCUCGAUUGGAACGCAACAGGAAAAGAUCAUUUUUCCAGUGAGAAUGCAAGUAGUCUCUAUCAUGCACUUGGGUUUUCAGAUCAUCUUCCACAGUUCUGGAAAAAGAAAAAACAAAAAUAAAAAGAAUUAAAAACUGAUGAAUUACAUGAUGCAACUCAGCUUCCAAAGAAACUUUAGCUUGGUUCGUGGAGUAGUUUCAUUUGCAGCUAUCUGUGACUAUGGGGUGGGGGGAAACAAUUUCUGCCAAUAAAAUUCAGUUUAGAGGUGCAGUUUGCUCUGAGAUGGAGUGCUUGUGGUGCCCCAACAAAACUGACACCUGUGUGACGCCCUAAUGGCUUAAUUCUUGAAAUUUUUUGAGUUUUUUUCUGAGAAUUUUGAGUGAAAUUUAACAUAGUUGAAAGCUGGUGUGGGAGUUUGCUUGUACAGAUGCUCAAUAUGUUAUUGAAAUACUUUGUCGACAUCUCUCUCUCUCUCUCUCUAUGCUCAAUAUGUUAUUGAAAUACUUUGUCGACAUCUCUCUCUCUCUCUCUCUCUCUCACACACACACACGCACGCGUGGUAUUUGCAGAUUGGUGAUUGUUGCGCUGGAUGAACUAUAUAAUUAGCAAAAUACUUUUAUAGGUUAUUUCAUUAAAAAUAGUUGAUUUAUGCAAACUACUUAGAAUUUUUCAGUUGUAACGAUCCAUCUCACUAGCAAUGAUAAAUUGUACCCACUAGCAAUAAUAUGAUAAAUUGUACCCACUCGCAAUAAUAAAUCAUGAGUUCACAUUACUCCAAAAUGCUUAAUUUUUUUAGUUAUAACUAAUGUGCCCCCCACAUAUAAGCCCCUAUAUUAUUCGAUGGGGAACUAUCGGAGUGCUACAUACGCUUUCCAUUACUCUUCCACAUUAUGCGAGCGCUACAUACGCUUUCCAUUACUCUUCCACAUUAUGCGAGUGGGGGACCAUCAUGGUGCUAAAUACUCUUUCCAUUUUAGAUCGUGACGGCAUCAUUAGUUUAAUCACAUACAUCGCCUUACAUCACUAGGCAAGCAAUGUGAGACGUCCUAUUGGUUUAAUCCCACACAUAGCCUUUUAUCACUAGAUAAGCGAAGUGAGUUCUAUCUCUGUAAUGAUCAAAUUCACUAACACUAAUAAUUUGUUGGAUUGAGAUUAUCUGUCCGAAAUAUUUAAGCCUAGUUAUUAUCUCUAGUGUGUUCGUCACAUAUAAACUCCUUACACUCUCCUGUAUUAUCCAAUGUGGACUAUCAGAAUAUCACAUUCUCUCUCUAUUUUAGGCGCUGAUAUCCUCAUAUAUAUAUAUAUAUAUUUUUCAUUUUAGGCCCUAAUAUUCUCGUCAACGCUACUCCAAUCACGCUUAGGCCUUGAUGUGCCCAUCACCCCAACCCCAAUCACUAGGUGAUGUGAAGCCUAUCUCACACUUUCAACUGGUGAAUUGGUUCUUCUACCAACUGUAAUAUCUAGCUCACUGCAAUAUUAACUUAUUGGGUCCAAACCAGCAUUCCAAAAUAUUUUAGUCUAGUUAUUAUUAUUAGCAUGCUCGUUAUAUAUAAUUUCAUCACACUCUCUCACAUUAUCCGAUGGUAGACUAUUAGGAGGUCACACUAGUGGUACACAUGAGAAUGAAAUGUGUGACUUCUCAGAUUUAAGCAUUGGGGGGGAAAGCGUGAGGUCUUGCAUUCCAGUUGUGGAGUGAUAACUUGAGGGUUUGGAUACAAGGAUCAAGCUCCUGAUUCUUGGAAGAAAAAAGAAAGGAAAAAAAACUGAUUUAUCAAGCUUUGAAUCAAACACUUGAGAUGGAAAGUAUUUUCAAUUCGUUUCACAGAAAUUUGGCUCUUGCCUUUUCCAUUUGUUUCUACCCACAUAUCUACCCCUUGAUAUCACCUUGAAAUUUUGCUCUUCUAUGUACCUAUUCCAUGUUCUACAGAACCGAAAGGUGAAGCAACAAGAUAUUUCCACUAUUUCCGAAACCCACCAAUUAUACUGGUUUCUUUGUUUGAUAUCAUAUAUAAUGUACAAGAUGUUUUCUAUAAAUGGGUAUUCGUUGGCACAAAUUUUUGGUGCCCGAGACUGGUAUGUGUGAACGAUCAUGAUCAAUGCGAAGAUUGUCAAAUUCUGUGAGUUUUCUCAAAAACUAAACUCGGUAAAUAAAUUUUCAGCUCUAAAUAAAUUAUUGUGUUUAACUUAAAACUGUUAGGAUUUUCCAUAUUUUGUGGCCCAAUUAAUCAUAUUUAAUUAGGAUUUGCUAUAGAUAAAGGUCAAUCCUAAUAGAUAUAGAACUGCUUGAUAUGGUAUAUUUUAUCCCUAUCCCAUCUAUUUUAAAUUUAAAUAGAAUCCUAAUCAGACUUUGAUGGGAAGUCGAUCUGGACUCUAUAUAAAGGGGUAUUGGUCCUGCCACCUUCUCAUACGCAUUCUGGUGAAGAAUUACCAUCGGUUCCACACCAUACGGCAGAGUGCCUGAGAUAGGGGGAGAAACCAAAUCACCCAAGUUCGGUUCGUGACUUUCAGAUCGUAGCCGGACUUCCAGCUUCCGCAAGAUUAAUCAAGAAUCUCUUCUUUAUGGCGCUCUGUGAGUUAUCGUAUUUUUAUUUUUGAUCCUGGAUUUGGUAUGUAUUUAUUUUUAUUUAUUUUACAUACCUUGAGUUUCCAUCAAAAACUUCUAGCUGACCCUUCUUAUCUAGCAUGAUGCUCAUGUGAGACCCCAAGAUUUGUAAUAGUCCUAUAUAUAAAACAUAAUCGGGCUAAAUCUUUCAACCGAGCUAUAACAUUUUGAGCGGUGGCUAGGUCCAAGAAGUUAAGAGAGUUAAAUGUGUUAGGGCUAGAGUAAUUCUAGGAUGCAUGACCCUCGAUCGGAAGAGGGGCGUCGCAGUUGGUAUCAGAGAUAAUUACAAGCCGAAAGUGUCAGAUGAGUACCGACUGAGCUAGAAUUAUAUAGUAGACAGAACGAGACUCUCUAGCUGAUGACUGUUGUGGUGGAGUGUGGCUCCCUAUAAGGUUGGCCAAGGCUGAUGAGACAAAUCUCACAUCGCCUGGUACUUGCGAGUGUGUUUGAGCCUGAUGAGGCCGUCAGGCUUGGGGGGAGAAAGAAUGUAAGACCUCAAGAUUUGGAAUAAUCCUAUAUAUAAGAUAUAAUAGAGCUAAAUCUCUCAAACAAUGGCUAAGCCCAAGAGGUUAAGAGAAUUAAGUGUGUUAGGGCUAUAGUAGUCUUAGGAUGGAUGACCCCCUGGCAAUAUUAUAAGGCUAAUUUUUGAAAAAUAAAUUAAAGGGUAGCUAAAUGCAUAAAAAAAAGUGCAAUUGUAGAGGGUAAAAUUCAAAUCUCUAAUGAAAUGAGAGAAUUACAACAAAAAUGACAAUUCGACUAUCGUUAAUGGAAUCCACCUAAAAAGAAAAGUCGGCGACAACUGCAACUAGACUUCAAUAAGGAGUCGGUUGAGAAGAGAGUACUUUUUGACCACAUUCAGACCUAUCGCAUUGCUUAAGAGGUGUUGUAAUGCCGUCUACAAAAUAAUUUCUGUUGCAUUCCAUGAACCACUACCAUCGAUGUAAGGUACCGGACUUCUAAAAUAAUAAAGUUACGGUUUAUAUUGAUUUGGAGAGCUAUUGGAAUGGUUCCGGUCAAGUUUGGAAGCAUUCGGGCGUUUUCGGAGCCCGUAGGCGCGAAAACGGAACUCGAAAGGCUAUAUUGGACCAUGGACUAAAUCCGGCUAAGCGUGGAUGAAAAGAUGAUGAUAAUAUGCUCGAAAACAUGUUUGAAGAGUCUCGGUUCGAUUUGAAAAGAAUCGGAGGCCAAACGAGCGAAAACGAGCGAAAACGGAGCGAAAACGAAAAAGGCUGAAGUUUCGCUAAGUCUGGAAAUUAUACCUACGGGGACGGGUCCCUCGGCCACGGACAGGUCCCUCAGGGACCGGUCCCUUAUCCAAGGACCGAUCCCCGUAGCCCGAAAGUGCCCUGCGAGGGCUGUGCACUAAGUGCAUUGUUGAGGGGAUAUUUGGUUAUUUUGCCAUAAGUUGAGGGCAUAUGAGAGGGAGGAGCCUGUUCCCUCUCAUUUUUCUCAUUUCUCAACCCCGAACCCCUCUCUCUCUCUCUCUAGAAUAGCACUCUCUCUCUCUUCAAGGAGGAAGACAAGGGGAGGGAUUGGAGGAGAAGGAAGCUUGGAGAAGAAGAAGCUUCACCUUCAUCUUCUUCUUCUCAAGUUUGGAGCAAGCUUUGGAGGUAAGCUUGAUGUCCAUUCAUGGUGAUUUCUUAGGGUUUGAUUUAUAUGCUCUAAGAAUGGUUUAGAUGGAAUCCUAGCAUGCUAAAUAGAUGGAAAAUACUUGAUUCAUGAAUUAAUUUGAAGUAUUUUGCUAUAAUUGCAUCUAGGGCUCCAAUUUUGGGGUUUUUGGAAAUAUAAGGGUUUAAUCUAAAUUGACCAUUCUCUAACCUAAUUGUUAGGUCCCCGAACGCGUUCGUGCACUCAGUUUGAGCAUUCGUCGGGGCUACGAAGAGAUAUUGGCGAAAAAUCCAUUUUUAGCUUCGUUUCCGCCUGGAGGGCCGAGGCGACGACUGAAAAUCAUGGAAACGGAUUUGGAGCACCGUGGCGGCAAACCGUAGAGCUAUAAUUUCCGGGGCUGCGAAGCGGCACACGGUUGGUGCGCAAUUGCGAGUUCGGGCCGAGCCGGAUACGGGUGCCGCGGGAGGCCGAUUGCAAGUGAUUACAAGCAAUCGGAGAGCGAAUCGAGAUGGGUUGUGCUCGCCGAAGCGACUAGGUCGCCCUUUUGUCUAAGAAAGAUGUGAAUUCAUGUUGCUGCAUGUAAAUGCUAGAUGAUGCAUGUAGUUAAUACUAUAUGAAUGCAUGUUAAUGGCAUAAUAUAGAAUGCAUGAUGAGCAUGAUAUGUAAAUGCUAGAUAAUUGCAUAAUGACAUACGCUAGUGGAUAGAUGCAUGUUAAUAUCUAUAUGCGUGGUGGAAUACAUGCUAGGUAAAUGCAUAAUUACAUGAUGCUAGGAGAGGCAUAAUAAACAUAAUGGCUAUUAAAUAAUGCAUGUUGGCAUUGAGAUGAAUGCAUGGUAAUAUAUACAUGAUUAGCAUGGUGAGGAUAUGCUAGAUUAUAUAUGCAUGUGAAUUAUAGAAUGCUCGAUUGGACAACUAGGAUGUCGAAUAGAUCGAGUGACAUUUAACCUAGUGUUAAAGAACAUAGGUUGUGAAUGAACCUAGAGUCAAAUGGAUCUAGGUGUGUGGCAUCGAACCUAGUGUUAGUAAACAUAGGUUGUAUUGAACCUAGUGUCGUGAACAUAGGUUGACAUAUGAACCUAGUGUUGUUAAACAUAGGUUGACACUGAACCUAGUGUUAAAGAACAUAGGUUGUGGAUUGAACCUAGAGUUAAAGUAAACCUAGGUUAUGUGAUAGAGGCGUUGAACCUAGAGUCGGUUGGACCUAGGGUGGAAAGGACAUCGGACCUAGAUAGGUCGAUACUAUAGGGUUUGAGACCAACCCUUGAGUUCUGAAAUGGAUUCCGGAAUCCCUAGGAAAUGAAGGCUGCUAGUGCAGCGAAUGAGAUUUACGACUGAGCGCAAGUGAAUCCUAACUGCGGGUAUGUUAGUUUUCCUCGCCCGGCAGUGAUUCAACGGGUAUGUUGGUUCUCCUCGCCUGGUAAGUGUAUUGGCAUAAAUAGAAUCCUAUCUGCAACUAUGUUGGUUCUCCUCGCCCGGCAAUGAUUCAACGGGUAUGUUGUUUCUCCUCGCCCGGUAUGCCAUGAACUUGAGCUUGAAAUGGGUAUGUUGGUUCUCCUCGCCCAUUUAGCUUAUUCGAUGAUGCCGCCUAGACUGACUUAAACUAUUCUGGGUAAGGGCGAUGCGUGCGCCGCCAGAAGGCUGAGUCGUGACCUGAACCAUUGAUGCGAUUAGUUCGCCGCCAGAUGGCUAAGUCAUGACUUGAGUCCGUUCUGGGUAAGGGCGAUGCAUUCGCCGCCAGAUGGCUAAGUCAAGAGGUGCGUUGGGCUGUGACGACAGCCAGGUUGAGGUGCAGCCAGUGCGCGGUAGUCCGCGAUGAUUGACUCGAGGCCGAGUCAGGUGGAUAGUGAAAACCUUAAAGGCUAAUGAUAUAUGAUAUGAACUAAGGCAGUAGAGACCUUAGACACUAGUUGAGGCUGAGCUGUGGAACUAAGGUAAAUAGAACCUUAGAGCUAGAUGGCAUGAGCUAUGAUUAGCAAAAUUGAAAGUAGUAUCGAUGGAUCUACUAGUGAACUGCUUAGUUGCAUAGUUGCCUGAUUUCAUAUUGCAUAUUAUGAGGCGUGACAUAUAUUUCAAUUUGAAUAUAUAUCUGUUGUAUAUUGUUGAACUAACAUAUUGCAGUGCCUCCUUGGACCUAUCGGUCGAGCUUUUCCCUUGGGUGGUCGUACCUACUGGGAACCAUGGAGUUGGUUCUCACCCCACGUUGUUUUGGGGUAUUACAGGUUCGUACAUGAGGGGGCGGCAACGCGAGGCUAGGGCGUAGCUCCAUAGAUAGCGCCCUACCCCAGAGACCAGAGAUAGGGGUACCCCGAGUCGGCAUAGCCUAUGGGUAGAUGGAAAUGAAAAGAACAAGAUGUACUAAAACUUGUAUAUAAGUGAUGUAAUAACUUGAUUGCAUUUGGAUGAAAUGAGUGGUAAUUGAGAUGUGAAAUGCAUGAAAUGGGAAUGCUUGUAAUAACAUAGGAUGUGUUAUGUUGUUGAUACCUUCCAUUUGCAAUCUAUGAUUGAAUACUGUUCCUGGUUGGAACCACUUGUAUUGUUUUGAUUGCGACACCUAGGACGUACAGGAAAAACUCUGUCCGUUCGGCGGUCUGUUGGCGUGCUCGAACCCGACCAAAUAGACGGGGCGCGGGGCGUGACAGAUAAAGUGGUAUCAGAGCAUAAAGUAGAGAAUGGGAAUGAUUUAGAUGGACCUAGGAGACCCUAGGAUAGUAAACCAUAGGAGAAUAAGGCUCAUGAGAGACGAGGACUUGCGACUAUUGGCGAAAGGUUCAUUGAUUAGGUGGUGUUGUAAACCUCUAAAACGGAUAUUAGAGGUAGACUUAAGGCGUGGUUUAUUCUUAACCGAGGGUGUUCAUGUUGGAUGCACACAACAUGAAGUCGAGUGAUGAGAAUAGACGCCCUUGCAUGACUUUCACCCGAUUUGAGUCGAUGUUAAAUUAUUUCGUGCUCGACCUAGAAGGUUGAGAAUUAAUCGAGUUGCCCUGUUUCAGGAAACGAUGGCACCGCGUAGGCGAUCUUCAUCCAAAUCGGCGUUGGAGGGGACAGGUGAUGUCCCUAAGCAAUCUGAGGCAAGUGGAGACCCGGUGCUCCGCCAGCAGAUGAGUAUGCUCAUGAUCGUAGUGCUGCGACAGGAGGAGUAGAUCAAGGAGCUCCAUGAGUUGUUGGCAUGGCAGGCUGCGGCGGCUGCACCGAUAGCAGCGCACCGUGUACCGACAGGAGUCGCGAUAGAUUCGGGGGCAGUGGCCCCUGAUUAUGUGGAAAUGGAGGCGGAGAAAGAGCGGGCUUUGGCGGCCCUUAUGACCUUCAAGAGGUUUGAUCCGCCUGUCUUUGAUGGAGAGAAUGUCGAUCUGUGGAUUGUGGAGAUGUGGAUUGACUCUAUGAAAACACUCUUUGAGAAGCUGUACACCCUGGAGCGAGACAAGGUGCCCCUGGCCGUACACUGUUUGAAAUUGUUGGCAAAGGUGUGGUCGAAAGGCAUUCGACGAGAUCGAUCGCCUAGUCUCCCUCCUAUGGCAUGGGAUGAGUUUCGAGGAUUGGUGUUUUCGACUUACUUUCCCAACACUGAAAAAAGAAAGCUUCAAGACAAGUUCAGGAAGCUGCGGCAAGGAGACUGCUCUGUGAGAGAAUACGAAUGGGAAUUCUCUCCUAUCGUGAAUUGUGUCCCGGAGGUACGGGAUGACAAGGAUGGGGCCGAUUGGUUCCUGCGUGGACUUCGACCGGAGAUUUACAAAGAGCUGCAAAUCUUCAAGCUCACAACCUUCGCGUAGGUGUUGGAUCGAGCAUUGUUGGCAGGACACGGCGAAGAUUUCGUGCGUGAGAAGCACGAGUCUUUUGAGCACGAGCAAAGAGGGGUGAGGCCACUGUCGAGCGGUUCCGGUGGACAAUCAAGUUCUAGGCGCCACUCGAAGUCGUCCCCUACUCGAUCCUCCCCGGGAUGCGUGAUCUGCGGUGGUUCCCAUUGGGCACGACGUUGCAUGCAGCGGGAAGGUAGAUGCACCCGAUGUGGACGACCGGGUUACCCAAACUACGAGUGUCCGCAAAGCGAUAGUCGGGCCUUAAUGUUGGCGACGGCCUUUUCCUCUCCAACACAGUUUGCAUGUGUGCCACCUGCGGCAUGGUCGGAAGAGUGGCCAUUGAGGAUGAUGCCACCGAGGGGUUCGCGGCGGGCAGCAAGUGGCCGUGGAUACGUGACCCAGGUGGAGGAGCCUGCUACUACCGACGAUGUAUGGCAGGUAUGAAUUAAUUAAGCAAACAGGUGCUGCUACCUAAUAUUAAGUUGUUGCAUAGCAUGCAUUUUGAUGAGUGGUCAGUUGCUACUAUUUAUACAUUGCAUAAUAGGGACCCAUUAGACGGGUAGGUAGAUACCCGGGCAUGCUUGCAGUGAGAAUGUUGUAAGAUAUGGAUCCCGAGGAUCUAAAAGGUAAAAAACACCUAGAGAGGGGGUGAAUAGGUGUAAACGGUAAAAAUCAAUAAACUCGAUGCAAAUUAAAAGUAAAUGCGGAAAAUAAAAUCAGCACACCGAGAAUUAACGUGGGAAAACUCCAAACCGGAGAGAAAAACCCACGGGACCAAUCACACAAAGAAAUCCACUAAGAAAACAUGAGUACAAGUGAUUUACCAAAAAUACAUGACUCAAUAUAUCGAAUCCUCGUUGUAGAUUGUCUUUGCCAGUCCUCGAUCGCUUGGAAUCCUCCAAUCGACCACACCGCAAGUCCUUGCAGCCAAACACGCCUCGAUUCCAUGAAACGCCCACUGAAUCCACGGUCUCGACGCGAGAUCCACGCGCUAACGUUCCAUCCGAAGCUCGUAGGGAUUUAACAAUUUGUGGUGAUUUAAGAUCUUAGAAAGAACAUAUAAUAUGAGGAGAAACCCUAAUUAAAACAUCACCAAUUUGAUCCUUAAGAAAGUUUUGAAUCAAAAUCAAAGAAUCAAAUCGGUGAUCUAAAAACUUGAUGUUUAAAACAUAGAUCAAAACUCCGAAUCAAGCCGUUAGGGUUUCUAAAAGGUUAUCUCUCUCAACUCAUGUAACAUAUGGAAACUUGGAGUUGCGAUGUCAACUUUGCCCUAAGGGAUCAAAGUGAGGAUUGAACUAGUUGGACAUCAUCCUCGAGUGAAUUGUGAUUUCUGGAGAUAAAUAAGUGUUUCGGCGCAAAUUGGGCGCGAAACGAAAUAUAAAGAGAAUUUCGGAUUUCCGACGCUAACUUUGAUUAAAAGAAUUAAAGUAAGGCGGAAGGAUACAUUGUGGUAUCUCCGAAUCAAUUGUGAAGGUUUGGAAAAGCCAAGGGUGUGUUUUCAAAGGGUUUUGACGAGCUCAGUGCGAAGUGGUAGUGCAAAAAGGAGAAAUCGCUACCAUGUAAUGAAAUUGGAGCCGAUUCUAUUGCUAAUUCGGCUCAAAUAAUGUCAAAAUGAAAAGGAAUUGCUUCCAAAUUACAUGGGUAGCUUGUGAAGGUCCCUUGGUAUAUUUUGGAAGUGUUUGGAUGAAAUCGGAGUGAAAACGGAAAAUUUAGAAUUUUCUGUAAAGAACGGGAUUGAGAAAAUUAGCAGAAAAUGCACAGUGUCAGAAAAUUAUGAAAAUUGGCAAAGAUGUCAGGAACAGUUUUAUGAGGCUAGAUUUGAAGUUUCAGAUUUUUCUGACACCUGUAUAGAGAGAAAUAGCAUUUGGAAGUUAUCGAAUAAUGAUUACAGUUCGGGACAGUUCGCAGUGACCAAACGGGGUCGAAAUUGAAAUGUUAAAAUUGCAGUGGACUUGUUAAGUAAGAGUGAACAUUCCUGUCAAAUUUGAGCUCAAUCGGACUGUCGGAAGAGCCUACGAAAGGUAUUUGAUCCGAGUUUCGCAACGGACUUAAGUCGAGGGGCAUUAUGGUCAUUUAUCACUAAGUUAGUGGAUUUCCACUAAUCUGGCAGCAGGGAGGCCUUCAUUCUUAUCCCCUCUGCUUCACUCUGGUUCCAUACGUAGAAAGAGAGAGAAGGAGAAAAGAGAGAGAAGAAGAAAAGAAGAGAAAAGAGAAGCAGGAGAAGAAAAGGAAGAAGAAAAAGGUAAGAAAUUUAAUCUCUCUCCCUCUCUCCUUGCUAUCUUUUUCCCCCUCACUCUUCUUCCCUGUCAACAGCAGCAGCAGCUCAGCUAGCUGCUGAGCAGGCAGUCAGCAGCAGCAGUUACAAUAGCAGUAGUAGCAGCAGCAGCACGCGCAGUAGCAGGAGCAGCAGCAGCUUAGCAGUAGUAGCAGCAGCAGCCUGCAGUCAGCAGUAGCAGCAGCAAGCAAUCAGCAGCAGCAGCAAGCACUCAGUAGCAGCUUGGCAGUCAGCAGUGGUAGCUGCUGUCAGCAGCAGCUUGCACAGCAGCCCUGCGCAUCAGCAGGAGCAGCAGCAGCAGCUGCUGCUUCAGCAGCAGUCAGCAGCAGCUGCUUCAGCAGCUUGCGCAGGGAGUAGCAGCAGCAGCUUCAGCAGCAGGCAGUGAGCAGCAGCAGCAGGAGCUUCAGCAGCAGCAGUAGCUUCAGCUGCAGUGUCACGCCCGGGUACCAGCGGAAGCAUAUCCGGUACGUGCACAGAUCCGCCAUACACCUGCAGUUUAUAAGGCGUCUACAAAGAAAGCAAGACGAUAGGAAGUAAACAAAGAGAGUCCUAUCCUGAUAUCAGAGCAAUGUACAAGUCGAUAUACUAUCAGUAAAAGAACAAAGGAAAAUACAAUCCAAAAUCUCGACAGAAGAGAAGUAUCACAACUGCAGUUCAUGGUCCAAGUAGUACAUAUACAUCACGAGUAUACAAAAAUAGGAUAGGUACAAUGGUGGUUUCUCUAUACAAAGGGACAUCACCCUCGGUCGUAGCCCGAGUAGCAAGGUGAUCGACUAGCAUGCUCCUAGCAAUGUCUAGCUAGACGCGACUCCCUUGCCACGAUCCCUAGCCUCUCCUGCAGAUGGCUCUGUAAAAUACAACCACCAAAAGGGCGUGAGAACUAUUAACAAUAGUUCCCAGUGGGUAAGCCGCCAGCCUCGGCGAAUUACACCACUAGGCUCAUGAUGUACUGAAAGUAAGUAAAAGCAAUAAGUGCAUGAUAUAGAAAUAUGCAGUUCUAACCGGUAACAGGCAUGUAUUCAACAUGUAAACAUGAUUUCUGCAGUAAUGAAUCAACUGAAUAAUAGAAGUAUCGAAACUACUAUAAACAUGAACAUAAACAUAAUCGUAGACGUGUAAGUACUACUGUACACUACAAUUGAUACUUAUUCAUUACUAUCAUUAUCAUUUCCACUUUCAUUUUCAUUCACUAGGACCUACUCAAGGUAGUCCAGCUUGCGCCGCGCUGUAGAGAAUACUCCUAAUACUGAACCUUAUACACGAAACCUUGUAUCAACGGUACAAAACUGUAUCUUUUGUUCUCACAGUAUUUCCCCGUGAGCUUUGAUCACUUGAUACCUUGACGUUGUAUCUCUAUAUAACUAUCCGGAAACAUGUAGACGAUAUAUAUAAGGUACAAUCUCUGUACAACUGUAUCUCUAUCCGGAAACCCUGUGAGCUAUGUAAGGUACAAUAAUCUGUACUCCUGAACCAUGAACGCUGUCUAGCAAACUGAUGAACGGUAACACGAGUAAGCGUGUACGAACACUCCCAGCGAGGGAUGUUCGGCCGUGAGGCCUCUAUCGGUAGCGCUAUGUAUAAGCGGCACGCCCUAACCCGCGGCUUCACCUAACGGCACCCUGUCCGAGUAGGGAUCCCACCCCUACUACUGAUGGUGCCCCGGUAAUCCGAGCCGUGGCCGGUCUGUCGGGUGCCCACCCAGAGUCCCGGUAUCUGUCGGAAGCCCACCCAGAGAAGUCUAACCCGAUAUAUAUAUAUAGGUAAUACUGUACACCUGUCUACUGCUGAAUCACAUGAUGAACCUGUAACUAAUCUUAUCAUUUGUUGCCUUGAAGUGAUAAAGUGUAACACUUGUAGUACUAUCAACCUCUGUAAAUGAAAUACGUAUCAACGAAAGUAUGAAUACGAUAAGUACGAUUCAUCUCUAUAGUACAGCAUCAUCCAAUGUAUAAAUGAAUGGACAGCGGAAAGAUGAAAAUAACAGUGACUGUAGAAAACAUCGAAACCCGGAACACCACGUACGUGACUUCAGUCAUUAACGGGUGACCCUUGAUAAAAAUUAUCAAGAGUACGGGAGCAAAAUACCAAAGGAAAAGUCUCGGAAGCCGUGGCCGCCUCCGUGCCCUAGCGCCGUUCCCCUAGCGCAUCGAUCGAUCGCUCCUCGAAUGAACGGAUCCACCAAAUGAGAAAGAAAACAUCAACUCUCUCACUCUCAAAACAUGGGACAUAUCUCUGGUGGAUACAUAGAUGAGAAUCGUGAACAUAAACCCUAAAGGAGAACGUAAAUGAAAUACGGAAUAAAUCACCUAAAUGUCGAAAAGGAGUAGGAAACAACAUCGUAAAUCUGUAAAUAAUACGAGACUAUGAGGAUCUACAGAAAAUAAUAACGAAAAUAAUAACAACAAAAAUCUGCGGAAUAUACAACUUCUGUAUACCGCCCAGAUCCGUGCGCGGCCCGCCCGAAGGCGACCCAGGGCCCCGCACUGUUUUCGCGGGAUAUCCUACCGUGGGCGACUUAACUUUCUCGACUUCCGUGUCAAUGUUCUAGAAAAUCUAUUUCCUAAACAAGCUGGCUCACAAAGCGGGACCCCUCGUGGCCACAAUAAACAGUUCUUUUUCCUACCUAGAGAAGCUAACACGCACCUAAUAGCUCUUUAGUUAUUUCAGUGUUAGUUCUUAUUUAUAGGUAACGGAUCUUAACUACUGAAUAAGCUAGUCGACGUUCCUAGCUUUCAUAUGAGGUUUUAGCUAAACGUUAGUCCGAUAGUAGUAGAGUUCUAAUUCGGACUUCUACAAAGAUUCUGACGAAAAUCUUGUGCCAUACCCGUAAUACUUAAAUGUCAGUACGGCAAACCCAACUGAUUACGGGCUCGUCGGAAAUACCUAAAUUACUUGGCACAGAAAUUUGGGAUAGACCUAUCCAAACACCGGCACAAGUAGUUACUAUAGAACUAUAUAAGAGCUUCACUGUUUCUCGUACUUCUGGUAAACUCUCACCACAAUGUUCAUGAAGCUCUCCUCUUUGAUAAACGUUUCAAUUUCUUUACGCUUAAAACCGAUGCUCUUCACCGUAAAGACCCAGUACACUAAAGUCUUUGACCCUAUCGUCACCUAGGAUUCUUCUAACUUCGCUAAUUUCUAACCGGAUCCGGCUGGUCACAGUGACUUUAAGCCUCAAAGGAACCAAACCGCCCUAUGAUGGCUUCUAUACAUCUUCCUAAACGCUUUUACAGAUGAGGAGAGUGAGCUGAAUGUGUAUUUCCUCGAUUUAAGGAUACCUUGCUUCGGACGCUUUCUUCGAAAGUUCUCGAUUUCCUUGCCAACUGAUGGCGGGGCUAAGACCGGAACGGACAAUGACCUCACCUAAUACACUAAAUGUCGCUACGUAGUGACUUACCUAAUCCCACACAAGAUUACGUCUUACCGUCUCAUUAACGAAUACGAAGAGCGGUUAAUUUCCUAAUACUUUUCUUGAUGGGAUGUGUACUAGAACUCAAUCGUCGACACCAUAAACGAAAUUUCGAAACCGCGGUGAUGGAGAUGCCGCUCGCAACGCUUCAAAUAUGUCUAGUAUUUUCAAAUUUCAUAGACAAAUGUGUCUUCCUUAAUUUAAACUCUGUUGCAUCUACCAACCUCAAUGAGUUCCUAAUACUAAACUGGUAGGAGAUAGUAGGACCUUUUCGAUUACAGCAUCGUCUACGAGAUUCAGCUUUUAGCUACCUUUUAAACCGCUACAGCUACUGUUACGUUGGUGACAACCAUUUCCUUUACCUCGUUAACUUAAACUUUCAACAUCGAGGACUAUGCGGAACCUCUGAAUACAGUAAUCACCACGUUGGAUGGGACUAGCUAGCUUAAUUCCUUUUCGUUCGAGUUCUACUGAAGGACGUCUUUUAAGCUCUAUUCUAGUAACCACUAGUACUAUCACUAAAAGCUCUUCUACUAGUCCCUAAUAACUUUACGCCACUAUCCGAGACACAUGGCCGUCUAAGACCAUAAUUUCUUCUCUAAGAUCGACUUCGUGUAGCCCGUGGCAUAUGACAUGUGGGCCCCUCAUGCUUUUACAUAUUCCUAAACUUCAAUUGAAUGACCACCGGACCUUACUUUUUCCUUCAACGUCUGAAACACCUUUGCACAGUCGUCCAAUUUCGACUUGUAGCUGAAGGACGUCCCUUUGAAGUCUCGAAUGGGUAUGGUCACACCUUCACCCUCUCCUAGUGAUACCUAAAGUAGCAACCUAAUGGAGCGAGUGUUCGGCCAGUGCUACGUUAAACCCAUUAACAACUAGCUAACUGAUUUAGACGGGUGAAAUAAGGUUAAGUAUGUUACACCUGCCCCCUUUCUGAGCGUGUUCACAUAGAACUACUUUAACACGCUAAUGUGCCUCAUGGACGAAGCUAACAAAGUCUAGCUCUGUGGGCUAAGCAAAGUGUAAAGACCUUCUCAAAUGUCCUCCGGUACCCAUGAGCUAACCUAAAAUCAUGACGAAAGGUGGGAGUCUCACUACCCGUCAGACUCGCAUGAUAGGUCUGGGAACUCCUAUACAACGCCCGGACACACUAACUGAUGGUCCCGUCAACCGGUGUCAAGAACGGAUACCGACUUAAACGAAUAUUGUUAUCAAUAGUUCGGUCAUAAGUCUACCGUGGCAAACUUCGGGAAAUACCAUCUUUCACAUCUAGUGGUGAAGUAACCUCACUUCACCCACUCUCUAACCAAAACCCAGGUCUGCAUAAUGAUCUCCGACUUCGAUUUUAAGCUGAACGCGCUCUUGCAGAUGACUGUCGGGUUUCAGCUGUUUUCUCAAUACGCCUGUUUGCAGCCGCUCUUAACCUUAAAAGUCAACUGCUAGUACAGAAAGACUUCCAAAGUGGCUGCUUUCCUCAAUUCUCUAAACCAUAAGCUCCUUUCAACUCAGGAGCUAAAUAACCUGGGAUGCUUCACAACCUUGCUUAUCCGGGGCAUCGAAUAGCCGAACGGAACGGCGGCUUGGAUAGCCCUCAGGUGCUACAUAAAGUACAUAGACGAGAUGCCUUUAUACAAAAACUAGGUUGAGUAUAUAACCUCUCAUGAGGUCACCUAAAUGUACUUCUAAACUCGAAACUCCUCGUAGGUUACUCCUAUGAUCGAGCUCUUCAUUUUGCUGAAGCUUUGGCACUCUAGGGGAUACAUUUCUAGGAAACCUCGUUAGUACUACUUGCCCUUCGAUGAACCCUUAACCUCUCACGUUACAAUCUCGUGAUGGGGAUGGAAAGAGCUAUCUUAGACCUCCAUUCACAAAUGUUCAAAACGCCUGCUUUGAAGAAAAAUCCUCCCCACUUACAUUAUGUGACCUGAAAACGUUUAACGCCUCAAGCUCACACACCUUACUUCACACUUUAAUAAGAUGUACAAGAUUAACUGAACCUGUUCAAAAACUUGUUCAAUCUCCUACUAACCUUACGAUUUUCACUCUUUCACGUAACUUGACCGCUUUUAGUCGGAAAAGACGAACGACAUGGCCAUGUCUGUAAUGGAACAUGGCCAUGUUCGACCGUCUAAGCACCGUCGUUCCAAUUAAAACAUUAAAGUGUAAACAAUGGAUAGAUAAACUAGGGUCGUGCUGAGACCCUGAAGUCACCUCACACGAUCUCACGUCUCUUCACAAGAAGGUAGAAAGAGUAAGAGAGAGAGAUCCCAAAAAGAGAGAGAUGCAGCUUAAGCGGCUAAAGCAAGCAAAAGCAGCGUUGCAACCAAGAAGCGACAAGCGUACACAACGUCCCGGAUGCACUCGCACGCUCCCUCAUAGAGCUUCUCGAAAAGCGUCGAGACUUGGUCAUUUCACGACCAACCUUCGAACUCUUCCAUUUGCUGCGCUACAAAAAGGCAAUAGCCGUAAGAUAAGCAGCUAAACUCAUAACUCAAACUCAAAAACGAAGAUUGGCUACAUUUGACUCUUAAUUCGAUAAUAAUUACUUAAUAAGUCGACACUUAAUUCGAGGAAUCUGAUCCCUACUCGAAGAAACUUCUAAUUAACUCUCUUAAUCGGUAAAUACUUCGAAUUAGCCUUGAUAUGCGCCAAAAAACUGCGUCAAAGCAUACUAAGGAAGCGUCGUCCAAAAGCUUGGUAGAUCUCGAUUAAACCACUGGAACCCCUAACUAAAUCUCCCACAAGAUUGGACUCCAUUCGUCCUUAAAGGUAAGAUUUUGAUUAAAGCGUUCUUAAGCCGAUUUAAGUGAUCAUAUGUUCGCGCAACUGCAGCAAAUUACUAACAAGCGUCGCGCUCACGAUAGCUGGAAACCCAGUGAAAGUCGACUAAUCACUCUCGAAGACCUCCGAAUUAAACUCCAUAAUUCGACCGGGUUGUGCCCCUUAAUGGAAUGAUGGAACAUGAUUCACGCUUAACACGGCUCAAGCCUGUAAGGCGAACAUCAUUACUACGGUGAAAGCACGAAACAAAAAGUCGUCUUAACUCUGGAACCCCUCGACUAAAACCCUGAAGGAAACUUGACUAACCUCAUAAGCAUGCUCCACCCAGCCUGGAUUGGUCUCGUUCACUUCGAGGGGAUACAAGAUAUACAUAAUAUCUGCACCAAAUUAAUAUACGGAUACACUAGCAAUUUCCCGAGCCUUAAGCAGUAGUACUGCAAAUAGUAUACACUUUACUCGCAAGUACGUAUUUUCAUGAGUACGUAAUUUCAUAAGAACAAAUCAAGUCAUCUUGUUGGUCCUCUAGUCAAAUAAUACAAAGAUACUAUAUCUCUUGUAUAUAUGUACUUUCAUAAAGAUAAGUAUAAGUUAUGUCAACUUACCGAAUACUUGUUCACAUCCUAUGUGAAAUUUCAUCUCUUGUUACUGUAAGAGAACUGAGAUUACAUCUCUUGAUACUGUACGAGUACCGAUACAACUAUCACGGUAGAUCACCUUUCUAAUAUUACGGUACACUAAAUCAAAAUGGGAAUGUACAAAUGUUAGAUCACCUAUGAUCGAGAACAAUGAUAAACACAUAACUGUAAGGCUAGUCUCCUAGCUCCCAUUCUUGAAAUGUUUACUUUUAUACUUUUAACCCUGUACACCUGUUACCUGAAACGAACGAACGGUAGCACGAGUAAGCGUGUGCGAACACUCCCAUCUAGGGAUGUUCGGCCGUGAGGCCUCAACCGGAUGCGCUGUCAACGAGCGGGCACGACCUAACUCACGGCUUCACCUAACGGCACCCCUCACAUAUGAUGGUGCUCCGGUAAUCNNNNNNNNNNNNNNNNNNNNNNNNNGGGUAUACUGCACUCAACAGUGCGGGGCUCGAGGCGGAUAAACCAGCCUAAGCCCGUGCGGCUGUCUGGCGGCUUGCCUGUCUCGGAGGGGACAUGCAAGAUCCGCAGUUGUUAGAUUUGUUACGUUAUGUUCUCCAAGGUACGUCCUUGAUAUCGUUCAUACAUCUAACGUAUUCAUAGUUUUUGUAUUUUACGAUUGAUACGAUAAUGUUCGUAAGUUGAGUGUCUAAGAAAUCUGUAAAUGUUAUCAAAUGUAAAUGUAUUGGUUUACACGGAAAUUCAAUAAUGUUUUGAAUAUGUUUAAUGUUGUUUAAACAAAGAAAGGUUAACCUUGAGACUCGACCUGGAGAAGUCCCAUGAAGAUAGUAACCAGAGCCACCAUCCCGCGAUAGAUGCCUCGAUGCGGGACAGGAGUGCGGCACCGCGGCGAGUGCACAUUGGACAUGGGGGUUUUGUUGUGCCCCCACUCUUGAUAUAUUUAUAUCAAGGGUCACCCAUGCCGGUGGGUUCCCUUCUCGAGCUGGGUGGUCCAGGUUUCCUCCGUUGUCAUCCAAUCAAGUUGUUUAUCUAUCUAUCUAUAAACUGAUUCGUUAUUUAUUUUGGUAUGGAAUGGAGCGACGAUACGUUAUACGUUAUGGACAGUUAGUACAUUCAUCUAAUGAACUAAGAUGAAAUAUAGAAAUUGGUAAGAAAUGAAUAUCGGCAAGAAAAUAAAGAAUCGAUAAGAGCAAGUAAUCGAUUAAAGUAAUAGCAAGUACAAAACGAGAAAUAAGAAACAUGAACAUGAACCACAAGAUGUGGAAUUUGAACCCGGGUGAUAUAAGUAACCGUUUAAGAAAGAAUUCCAACGAGAAUGGAAUUAGAGUGAUACGGUGGGCUGAGCCAGAACUCAGUUAGUUAGCGCCUAUCAGGCGCGUGACAGAUCGAGCUCCACUUCCUUGAGAGUGUACGUGGAGUCGACCGCUGUCGAGGGGCAUGAGGACAGGAUCGACAGACCGCCGCUUGCUCAGCGUGGAGUGGGUUGUUGUCGGAUCCAGUUACUGAAUCGGUGGGCCGCCGUUUUAGCAGCGUGUGCGGUGCUGUCACCAAGUUAGUUGUCCGCCAUCCUAGGUGUUCGACCGAAUUGGUAGAUCGCCGCUUUAGCAGCGUGUGCGGCUUGUUACCAAGUUCGGAGGCCCACCACCUGUGACGCGUGUGUGGGUUAGGACGGAACCAUAGUUAGAGCCGCCGCUUUAGCAGCGUGUGCGGGAUCGGAACUAUGGUUCCAAUAUUAUCUAGAACCCUAAGGCCUUAGGUAAAGGUGUUGAACUCCCAAAUGAGUGAAAUAGGAUACAACUGCUGGGAGGAUCCAGCUAUGGUUAGGAAAGGAUCACCAGUGAUAUGGUGAUUAUAAGUGUUGAAUCAAGUUUACAUGAUUCAGAAUGAUAUAUAGUAUUGGAUCCAAGUAAACGAUCCAAAAUAUAGUAAAAGUGGAUCUUGAGCUGAGAUCCAAAUUAAUGAACUGGAUACAGGUUACUGUGACCCAAUUACAGGCUGGAUACAAAGUUCUUGUGAUCCAAGUACGGUGAGCUAGAUAAUGUUCAACGUGUAAAAGUAAAUGAAACAAUGGCAGGUCUAAAGAUGAGUUAACCUCAACAGCUAAAUAUGGGUUAAGAAUCCCUAAAGUGUACUUCAAGUAUCAAAUGUAUGGUAUUUAAGUGUAAAGUGUAAGUUGAAUAAACGGGAACCGUAGAUACAUCCGAAAUCGUAUAUCGCUGUAAGUAUAUCAUACAUCCGAAAUCGUAUAUAAAAGUGUAAAAUAUAAGUUGAAUAAGCUAGUAUGCUUAACGUGUAGUGAUACGUAGUUUGAAAGUGCAAGUAUAUAGCUGUUCAUACACAUAAAUUGUGCUAAUAUACAUAACUGUUAAUAUACAGAAAUUGUGCUAGAAGUUAUAUAAGUGUACGGAGAUCAAACAAGUAAUGGACUAACCAUGUAGUCGAUCGUACCCUAAGUGUAAGUAUAUAUACUUAAGAAUACAAAGGUCGUCAGUGUUAAGUGCGUAAGUAUACGGAUGAGUAUUCGUAAAUCGUAAGUACAAGUCUCCAGCUGUUAGUAUAAGUAUAUAUACGCAGUUUACUUUGUUACUAAAUGAAAUCGUACCUUCACUGGAUUAGUGAAGCCAUUUCGUGUUGGGUGGAAAGAAACCGUGACCUUACUCUCUUUAGGUGAAGAGCGUGAAAAGGCUCUUGGCGCUGGGCGCGAGCGCUGAUAGCUACGGCUUUUAUAAGAAAACCGCUAUAGAAGCGCAUCCUCGCUGCCUAACGGCUUGGCUGAAGCGGUCGCGCAAAGAAAAUAGGGGUUAAUCCAAACAUGCGCCAGUUAAAGUACAGUCCCGAAGAUAGGACGUUUUCACGUAAUAACCCCAGUUAAAAGUUAUGUUUGGGUAAAGUUAGAUCCUCAUAUCAUAUUUAUAGGUUUAGAAGACUUCUAGAUAGACUAGGAUUUCAAAAACUCAAUUUUAAAAACUGACGACGGUCUCAGGGUCCGGUCCUCCCGAGGAGACCGGUCCUUGGGGGACCGGUCCUCUAAGGUGAAGACCGGUCCUUCGCUGCUUAGCUAAAACAAUAUGCGUACGGGGACUGGUCCUCAAUUUAGAGACCGGUCCCUCCCUGCGUAACAAAAAUAACCACCUACGGGAACCGGUCCUCAAGAUUAGAGACCGGUCUCCCAAAAACUUCUACGUAGAAAAGCUUGAUGGGUCCGGUCCCUCUGAUCAAGGACCGGUCCCUGAGCCUGGAGAUUUUUAGAAAACUUUAGUUUGAUCAACAAAAACAGAAUCUAAGUCUUUUAAACAUCUUUUAACAAUAAAAUCUCACCACAAACUAUUUAUAAUCAUACCUAAUAUCCCAAAAAUCUGGCAAAAAUCUUUGAUCUCCAAACUCCAAUUCUUUCUUCAAACUUCGUCUUCUAACUCUUCGCCUCCGUUUGGUUCGGGAUUAAGGAAAAAGUAGCUAUUCCAGGGAUAGAGUUAAGUUCAGGGUUAAAGUGGGGUUAAAGUUUUUUUGUGUUUGGUUGGGGGUUGGAGUUAGUAUAGAAUAAUGAAAAAUAGUGUUUGGUUGGGUAGGUGGGAUAAGAAGAUAAUGAUUGAUAAAGAAGGAUAAUGAUUGGUUGGAGUAGGUGUGAUAAGAAAGAUAGUGGGUUAUUAUGAAUAGAAAAUAGUAUUUGGUUGGAGUUUGGUGGGGUUAGGUGGGGUUAGCUAACCCGGGAUAAUUUAUUUGAGGUGGGGUUAGGUGGGGUUAGCUAACCCCACCUAUUUUUUGGGGUGUUUGGGGAUAAAAUGGGGGUUAAGGGGUUAUUCCACCCCUUAACCCCCAACCAAACAAGGGCUUCGAGACUCCGUCCAAACUUCACAAAAGUCGCAAACUUAGAAAAAAUCCUUAACAAAUUGUAGCACCUGCUUGAGCAAGUAGAGAGCCAAACGGCACUAGCAAAUGGCUAGUAAUGAUUCUUGGACGAGAAAUGAGACUCGGGGCGAACAUGAAAUGGUGAAGCGACUCUCAAGGCAUUGGUCAGAAGAUUGCGAGAGUUGCGCCAUGAUAUUGAGGAUACCCGAGUAGUUUGAGUAUUUCGGAUAUGGAUCCGGUAGAUCGAACAGUGAGAGUAGAAUCACUGUUGAGAGAGUAGCUGAUUAGUUGCCGAAUCCGGGCACGUUGGCCUAGUUGGAACGCUAUAGAGACGUGCGACGCACGAGUGUGGGUACUCGUAGAGUGCGGUUACGAUUCAACCGGGAGAGUGAGAUAGCAGUAGCACUGUAGCAUUGCUAAGUGUGAAGCAGGCUAUGGAUCACUCGUGGGGCUGGUGGCUCGCACUAGGUACUUAGGAGCCGAUAGUAGCAUAUGUAUGACUCGGUAGAGUAUGUCAUGUAGGGCGACGUUGGCGGGUUGUGCUUGGGGACGACCCGUGCCUGGACCAUUUCUGAACUGUGGAGUCUGGGCCCAUUGGGCAGGCGCAGUUAGCUGUGAGUGACAGCGGCCUUGUACCUAUGGGUAAGGCAGAGUUUUGGUCAGGACGGUAGUCCGAGCUUGGACCCGGGAGUAUGGAAUGCCACGUGUUGGAUCUCGAGAUCGAGGAUGCACUGAGAGUGCGGUUGUGACCCAACCCGAGGAUAUAAUGUGGUUUGGGGUCAUGGAUGCUCCUGGUUGGAGUGUGUGCGAAUUCCAAAGUGUGAAUUUUGCCUAGUGCAGAUUGGGCCUACGCCAGUGAGCGAGGGACGCUAUGCAUAGUUGUGAGAGGUUUAGGCGGUAGGCCUACGUAGUAUUGGUGACCGUUGGUCCACCUGUGAAAGCCGAUGUAAUCAGUUUAGCCGAUAACUCUAUUAGUGAGUUGGCUUGGAUUCGCGAACGGAGUGUUUGUGUGAGCUCGUUGCGACAACGAAGUCGAGUUGGCCGUGGCUCAUGAUGGCAAAGGAUGAAAUGCUCUUGUGAGAUAUUGAGCUAAUGGAAGCCACGUGAGAAUUGGAGCUUGAGGAUAAUGCUCAUUUGUGGAUUGAGAUUGGAGAUGUGCUAGAGUUUGCCAUCUCGUGAUAAAGCAAGGAUCCGGUUGGGAUUGGAGCACUCGCGAUUGGUCGAUCACCGACGAUAUUGCUUAUAGGCAAUGUCGGUGAUCGAAUCGGAAUGAAUUUUUCGAUUGGGUGUAUAAUGCAAAGAGUAGUUUCUUGCAUGAUGGUAAUACACUUUUGGAGCUAUACAUGGCAAAUGUGAGUGAAUUUGGUCUCACAUCCUCCGUAGUGAACCUUUGAAUGAUUCCAAUGAGUGAAAGGCCCCUCUAGAGUGCGAAAGUGCAUUGGAACCCUCGACUACUCAAUAAGCUGAGUUGAGGUGUGGAUUGGAUUAUAAGUGAGUUGAGUUUCGAGGACGAAACUCUUUUUAAGGAGGGGAGGAUGUAAGCUACCGGACUUCUAAAAUAAUGAAGUUACGGUUUAUAUUGGUUUGGAGAGCUAUUGGAAUGAUUCCGGUGAAGUUUGGAAGCAUCCGGGCGUUUUCAGAGCACGUAGGCGCGAAAACAGAACCCGAAAGGCUAUGUUGGGCCAUGGACUGAAUCCGGCAUUAGCGUGGAUGAAAAGAUGAUGAAAACAUGCUCGAAAACAUGUUUGGAGAGUCUCGGUUUGAUUUGAAAAGAAUCGGAAGCCAAACGAGCGAAAACGAGCGAAAACGGAGCGAAAACGAAAAAGGCUAAAAUUUGGCUAAGUCUGGAAAUUAUACCUACGGGGAUGGGUCCCUCGACCAGGGACAGGUCCCUCAGGGACCGGUUCCUCAUCCAAGGACCGGUCCCCGUAGCCCGAAAGUGCCCUGCGCGGGCUGUGCACUAAGUGCAUUGUUGAGGGGGGUUUUGGUUAUUUUGCCAUAAGUUGAGGGCAUAUGAGAGGGAGGAGCUUGUUCCCUCUCAUCUUUCUCAUUUCUAAACCCCAAACCCCUCUCUCUCUCUCUAGAAUAGCUCUCUCUCUCUCUCUCUUUUCCUCUUCAAGGAGGAAGACAAGCGGAGGGAUUGGAGGAGAAGGAAGCUUGGAGAAGAAGAAGCUUCACCUUCAUCUUCUUCUUCUCAAGUUUGGAGCAAGCUUUGGAGGUAAUCUUGAUGUCCAUUCAUGGUGGUUUCUUAGGGUUUGAUUUAUAUGCUCUAAGAAUGGUAUAGAUGGAAUUGUAGCAUGCUAAAUAGAUAGAAAAUACUUAAUUCAUGAAUCAAUUUGGAGUAUUUUGCUAUAAUUGCAUCUAGGCUCCAAUUUUGGGGUUUUUGGAAAUAUGAGGGUUUGAUCUAAAUUGACCCUUCUUUAAUCUAAUAGUUAGGUCCCCGAACACGUUCGUGCACUCAGUUUGAGCAUUCGUCGGGGCUACGAAGAGAUAUUGGCGAAAAACCCAUUUUUAGCUUCGUUUCCGCCUGGAGGGCCGAGGCGAUGACUAAAAAUCAUGGAAACGGAUUUGGAGCACCGUGGCGGCAAAUCGUAGACCUAUAAUUUUCGGGGCUGUGAAGCGGCACACGGUUGGUGCGCAAUUGCGAGUUCGGGCCGAGCAGGAUACGGGUGCCGCAGGAGGCCGAUUGCAAGUGACUACAAGCAAUCGGAGAGCGAAUCGAGGUGAGUUGUGCACGCCGAAGCGACUAUGUCACGCCCCGGGACCGGCGGAGGCCCUCCCGGUAGCGUGCCCAUACCCGCCAUAUGUCUACACAUAUAAGGCGUCUACAAGAAAAGCGAAAGUAAAAGCAAGAGAUGGAACAAAUAAAGAAGUGAAAUAACUAGCAACUAAUGAUAUCAGAGCGAGUAAAGUUCUAACAUCUACACCAAUAGUAAUAGAACGUAACUAAUACAUAAAAGUAAACAUAAGUUAUACAGAAUCAGCCUCUAAUACAAAAAUGGUGGUCACUAGUACACUGGUAAAACUCUCAACCUCUACAAAAUAAAACACAACGAGAGGUAGACCACCUAGUGAAUCGUCCUCAAGGGAAGCUAGCCCGAAGUAACUCCCUUCCCGCGGUCCCUGGCCUCACCCUGACACCACGUAACUCGACUCCAGUCAUUAACGGGUGACCCUUGAUAUUUAAUAUCAAGAGUGCGGGAGAAAAAGAGCUACAAAAAGUCUCGGAAGGUANNNNNNNNNNNNNNNNNNNNNNNNNNNNNNNNNNNNNNNNNNNNNNNNNNNNNNNNNNNNNNNNNNNNNNNNNNNNNNNNNNNNNNNNNNNNNNNNNNNNNNNNNNNNNNNNNNNNNNNNNNNNNNNNNNNNNNNNNNNNNNNNNNNNNNNNNNNNNNNNNNNNNNNNNNNNNNNNNNNNNNNNNNNNNNNNNNNNNNNNNNNNNNNNNNNNNNNNNNNNNNNNNNNNNNNNNNNNNNNNNNNNNNNNNNNNNNNNNNNNNNNNNNNNNNNNNNNNNNNNNNNNNNNNNNNNNNNNNNNNNNNNNNNNNNNNNNNNNNNNNNNNNNNNNNNNNNNNNNNNNNNNNNNNNNNNNNNNNNNNNNNNNNNNNNNNNNNNNNNNNNNNNNNNNNNNNNNNNNNNNNNNNNNNNNNNNNNNNNNNNNNNNNNNNNNNNNNNNNNNNNNNNNNNNNNNNNNNNNNNNNNNNNNNNNNNNNNNNNNNNNNNNNNNNNNNNNNNNNNNNNNNNNNNNNNNNNNNNNNNNNNNNNNNNNNNNNNNNNNNNNNNNNNNNNNNNNNNNNNNNNNNNNNNNNNNNNNNNNNNNNNNNNNNNNNNNNNNNNNNNNNNNNNNNNNNNNNNNNNNNNNNNNNNNNNNNNNNNNNNNNNNNNNNNNNNNNNNNNNNNNNNNNNNNNNNNNNNNNNNNNNNNNNNNNNNNNNNNNNNNNNNNNNNNNNNNNNNNNNNNNNNNNNNNNNNNNNNNNNNNNNNNNNNNNNNNNNNNNNNNNNNNNNNNNNNNNNNNNNAAAUAGUUCCCAGUGGGUAAUUACUGACUUCAGUGAAUGCACCACAAGGCCCAAAGCUACAAAAGAUGUCAGUGACUAUACAUGUAGGAAAGCGAAAAGCAAGUAAAAAGGUAACUUACUACAACAUGAUAUCUCUACUUCAUAUAAAUAGCAUAAGUACGAAAACAACUAUGCAUGAAGUAAAAGUCUCCAACUAUCAUAAUGUUCACAAUGCGAAAUAGUAAAGUUCCGUGGUUUACUAUUCUAGUCAAUGUCCAAGUAAUACUCUAAGUCAUCAUCUGUCCACCUGUCAUGAUGAAUACUCAAGUCAAAUCUGAAGAGACCCACCCGAAGGCUGUCUAUGGCCCUGAGACCCACCCGUAGGCUGUCUGGCCGGUGCCGAGCCUAAUGGCCCCGUGGUAGUCAUCAUCUCCACCCUAGGAAUGAGCCUGUCCCACGGCAAUCCACUUCGGCGCCCAAUCCCGCACGGCGAAUAUGAAUCGCGAUGGCUAUCUCCGGAGUGCCGGCUUGUAGGGAGCGACCCUCACAAGCAUGUGCGAAUGAGCACAAUGGCAAGUAGUCAAACGAUCUGCCGCAAGUACCAAGUCCUCAUGUCUAAUAACAUGGAAUGUAUCGAAUGUCCCAAAGGCCUGUCCCUAUGUCAUCAUGUCUCUAACAUGGAAUAUAGCAGAUGUACAAUGGCCUAUCAUCAUGUCCCUAAAUGCAGUUUCAUAGUUUACUAAUUUCAGGUGCCCCUUUAUGACACUUUUGUUCAGCAAGUUCCAAGCAUGGCAACUAUGUUCCAAAGUACAUAUUCCAAGUCAUAAUCCUCAUAAGAGGUGUAUUUCCCUCUUGCAAAAAUAAAUACUUUUCCCGUAUGCAUGCAUUCUACUCAUAUAGCUCUACUAUAUAGUGAAAUUUUCAUGAUACCCAAGGCAUGCGUUUUAAGUGUUCUAAAAUUCAUAUAAAUUUCAUUUAACAUAGAAAUGAACUUAAAAAAUAUUUUACGACGAGUGCAAAGAGCAUAGGGGCCAUUUCGCCCCAUUUCCACGAAGCCAAACCCACCGAAAGAAUCGACUUCUUCGUUUCGCCGAACGAAGAUAUCCACAAGUUCCCUAGUACCCUAGAAACAUCAAAAAUGGGGUCACCCAAACGAAACGAAGAGCAAAUAGCUCAAUCAUUAACCAACUCAAGCUAGAGUUGGGAAAAAAACUCACCUCAAGUGGAAAACCCUCUCUAAAUCCUCAAAUGGAAGGUAGAGGUCUUCCAAUCUAACCUAUAUAAAGGUUCCAAACCCAUCAAUUAGGUCUCAUAACCCUCAAAUCCAAAAACCCCCAAAAUAAACCCUAAAUCCCAAAAUCUAGGGUUUCAUCUAGAAAAACCUAGGAAAACAAGUAUUAAAUGGGGAUUAUAAGCUACCAACCUCAAGAGAAGCUCCAAUCCGAGCUCAAAACCAAGUAGGGUUGAGGUUUGAUCCUCCCCCAAGCUCCAACCGCAAGUUCAAAGCCACCAAAGAUGAGAAAUGAGGAAGAAGAUGAUGCUCCAAGGCCUCUAUUGUCACGCCCCGGGACCGAUGCCAAUUUGGCCCGACCCGAGCACGUCAAACAGACGCCGAACGGACAGAGUUUCCCCUAUCCGCCCAAGGCUCAUCACACGUACCUUUUCAUCAAUAGAGAAAAGCACUAGCGGAAACAUACACAAACGGCUUACACGAGGGUAAGCAAUAGCCAUAAGUGAAAGAAAAAGGAAACUAAACAUUCACAAGUAAUAUGAUUCAUUUUAGAUCAUAUACAUUGCGUCCAUUUCUUACAUUUAAGACUCUUUACAUUUCAUUACAUAAUUUCAUCAUUUCUUUCUUACAUCACAUUUACCUCAAAAUAAGCUUACAUUCUUUUCUUGCUUUGCUAAAUCAUCAAAUACAAAAGAUGAUCAUAAGGUACUUUACUACAAAAUGAAACCCAACAUCGGUGGCCUCUGUCUAAGGCGCGAUACCUUUACCUCGGUCGCUCGCCGGCUCGCUCGGUCCCGGCUCUGUGGAAAUAGUGGGGUGAGAACUACAACAAAGUUCCCAGUGGGUUCGGCCUCAACAUCACCGACUUUCC
Molecule: long non-coding RNA, 66112 nt
Filed under: Ananas comosus (pineapple)
Lineage: Eukaryota; Viridiplantae; Streptophyta; Magnoliopsida; Poales; Bromeliaceae
Description: long non-coding RNA (ACOM_LNC012038)
Source: RNAcentral